AAGAGGCUACGAAUUCUUUUAAUUCUACAAGUGGAGACAGGAAAUGAAGCUCCUAGACCAAUAACUAACAUUAAAUGACAAACCUUCUCAUCCAAAGAGUUUAUGGCGUUUGGUUCUUUGCUACCAUUAAUUUCCAUCGAAGAACAUUCAUUUUGACUUACAAAUUGGGAAAAAUCGUGUACGAUAUCAUGCAUCUUGCACGCUACAAUAAGAUUAUCAUGAUCUCUCUUAAACUCUUGAAAGAAAGAGCGAGUGGCUAAGAUGUUAAAAUACUCUUCACCAAUUAUGUCCAUCUCUUCAUCUUGUUCUGCACUAAAGUAACCUUGAGCCAUCCACAUGCUAAUUAGUUUCUCUUUCAUUAUAUUGAAGUCCUUUGGAAAGACAGCACAAUAUGAAAAACACCUUUUCACUCUGGACGGCAAAUCAUUAUAACUCAACAACAGAGGAGAUAGAACACCUUUCUCAAUCUCUUCGAUUUUCCACAAAUCAUUAUUUAAGAUUCUACACCACUCUUCUUCGGUUUUUUUGGAACGCAUGAGACUCCCUAUUACCUUUGCUGCAAGAGGCAAACCUUUGCAUCUGCUUGCAAUUUGUUGCCCGAUUUGCUCUAAUUUUUCACAUUCUUCAAUGGCCCGACCAUGAAAUGCUAUCCUAUUAAACAAUAACCAACAUUCCUCUUCAGCCAAUUCUUUGAUGGAGAUAAUAUCUAAAGAUCCCAUCAUGCACGCAACUGACUCUUUACGUGUGGUAACUAAAAUUUUACUUCCUUGGAGACCAUUCUUUAGACAAUGGUAGAAUGGUUCCCAUUUCACGUAAUUUCCAUCCCACACGUCAUCUAAGACAAGAAGAAAGCUCUUCCCUGCAAUGGAUUCAUAAAUAUGUCUAAGAAGAGAUUGGAAUUCACCUAAAUGAGAUUCUUGACCAUCCAAAGCUUCGACCAUUGCUUUGGCAACCCUGAACUCUUCAAAAGUUUCUGACACACACACCCAUAGAAUUUUAUCGAACUUUCUUAUCACCUCCUCAUGAUUACAAGCUAAUUGUGCGAGAGUGGUUUUCCCUAUACCUCCCAUACCAACAAUAGAGAUGAUAUGAAGGCCUUUUUGUUGCUCGCUACUCUCACACAACAGCUUGCUCAAGAGUUCAUUCUUCUCACCAACUCUACCACAUAUCUCCUCCUCAUCAAUGAAGGAGGUACUCUGUACUCGCCCAGGUCUCGCACUACUGGCACCACCACUCUCAACAAACUUAAACAUAUCCUUUUGAGUGGCUAUAACACCCAGCUUUUUAUUGAUUCCUUUGAUCUUGACAGCAAUGUCCUGACGUAGAAUGAUCUUUUUAAAACCAAUGCUAGAGGCAGGGAAGCAUGAACUUACCUGCUUCUGAGCUGAAUCAGCAUUCUGCUUCAUUUGCAAUCUGCGUCGUGCAGUGAUCCAUUCGUCCAACACAUCUUCAAUGUCGUAGGACACGUCCUUGAGUCGACCCAGCCAAACUCUGACGGAUUCCUCCUUCACUUGCCUCUGCUCUGCGUCACUGAGCACAGCUUGAAUCGUUUGAAGAUGGCUUGUAAGCUUUUCAACUUCCUGUUCAGCGCCCUUAACUAGCUUCACCUGCUGUGUCAACUCUUCAGCAGAAACGGAAAUCAGCUGCUCUAAGAGAGGAGAAACGAUGGCAUCAACCAUGAUGUUGGUCAAUAAUUUGGAUAGAAAUUGAUUUUGCAAAAAUGCUGAAAGGAAAUUAUGUUUUGAAAAUGCUGCAUCUGCAUCUGCAUCUGCAAUAUAUAAUACAAAGCAGUCCCCACACGCUAAAGCUGUCGGGGAAAGUGGAUGCAAAUGAACAUGCAAUUGACAAUACAGAUUUGAUCUUGAGAUUUUUAAAAUUUUAUUUAUUUUUAUUGAUCGUUUUAUAUAUUGUGUAGAAGUUAUAGGUGAAGAUAUUAACAAUAUGCCGGCGCACUAUGUUAUCCACCACUCAGUAAAAUUUUAAUUGUUCGGCAAAGUUUUUUUACUAUAAUAAGGGAAAAUUUGUGGUGCAACUGUAGUACCAUGUCACAGUUGUACCCAGUCAUUAGAUAUCAAUAGACCUCACCAAUCUAAGUGUAUUCAACGGCUGGAUGCAACUGUAAUACGGUACCGCAGUUGCCUGAUCCCUAUAAUAAACAUCAUUUUACUGUUAUCUUAUUUGAUAACUUACAGAAAUCAUUUUACUAAUUUGAACUCCACACUUAAUGUGAAAGCUGAAAUUAUGCACAGGAGUGCCCCACACGGCAGCUAUUUUAGAAAAUGAAUGCAAAUGGAAAUAUGCGUUGAUGCUUUUUAAAAAGGUUGUGGUUAUCUUUUUCAUCAUUCUGGAUUUAAUUAAUUAAUUAUGCUGCGUUGACUUACGUCAAUUUUGUACAGUAAAUAUCGCUCUUUCCUGGAGACUACUGCUCUAUUGAUUCUUCUCUUCCUAUUUUCUUUUCCAUAAACUAAUUUUAUUAGGUAAAUGUGUGAAAAGGUUUCUACUAAUUCCAAUCGAAAUUUCUCAGAAAAGAUUUGGUAGGUUCUUGUCGUUUGGAUCAAGUUUAUACGGCGUUAAUGUGUUAUUGAAUUUUGUUAUAAUACAAAAAGAACCAGCGGGCAUGUGAUGAGGGCAUUAUAUAAAUAUUGAGUGGCAUACGGAUGCGGGUCUUUUAACCCAUCAAAUUCCUCUUUAGACCAACUUACUUUAUACACCAAAAUUUGAAAAAUCAAGUUUUUACUUUUUAAAUAUUUCAUAAUUCCCAGAUUAACCUUAUUAAAGAGAACUCCUUUGUUUUGUUAUUUUUCUCAAUAUGUUACAUAUACAAAUUAUCUGCACUAUGAAAUCAAUCAAAAUAAAAAGAACAAGUUAUAAUUGGGUUAAUUCGAGAAAACCCAUACCUCCAUAAAUAUGUUUUUGGUGCUUUGAGGAACCAAAUAUCUCCCAAUACAACUAAUCAAUUGCCAAAUAAAAAUAUUCUAGCCUACCAUUAUUGACAUUGAUCCAGGGGCAGACCCAGGACUUAUUAUUACCUCGGGCUAAAUUUUAAAAUUUAUAUUUUGAAGCAAAAAUAAAAAUUUAUAAGUAGACAAAAGUACAUUAAAUAAGGGGAACACUAAGAACUCUAUCCCCAUAAAUAUGUACUAUAAACAAAAAUAAUUAUAAAAAAAGAGUAUAAAACAAAAAACAAUUUAAAUAUCAAAAUACUAAUUUUCAAUUAUGAAAUUUGACAUUACAACCUAUAAUAACUUGUAAUUAUAUAAGGAUUAAGAAAUCAAUUAAGAAUUUUAAACUAAAAUAGAUUAAUAUAUGUAAUUACAAUCAAUUAAAAAUUACAAGUAAAACUUUUAUGUUUGAAAUCAAGUACUAAAUUGCCAAGCUUAAUAAAUUAAACAAUUAAAAUUUAUGCAUCCAUUCAAAUUAGAAAAGUAUUAUUAGUUAAAAAAAUUAAUAAUAAACUAAAUUCAAUUCAGCAAAAAAGUACUUAGAUGCAGUUGUUUCUUUAUCAGGUGCUCUAACUCUUUUUAAAGAACUAGAUGUUGAUAAUCCUUCUAUCAAAAGCUCCUUAAAAUAUUCAAAUUUUAUUUUUUAACUUGUCCUCCUAGUUAAUGGAACUAAAAAAUAAAGUAUAAAAAUUCAUAUAAAAAAUUUAUGAAAAUGUUGAUAAUUGUUACUAUAUGUUGUUUUUAUAAGUAUUUUUUUUAAUACCAUUGAUGAUGUUAUAUUACGUUGACACACUUUUUUUUCAAUGAGAAUUUUUUAAAAUAAAUUAAAGCAGUAAUAAAAUUUUAGCUCCCUAAUAUUUACAAUCUAUUCAAUAAAUAUAUAGUUUAAUCAUUUUAUAAAAUAAGUCACUAAUUUCAAUUGAAAAUAAUAUAAUUGAAUUAGGGACAUAUUUGAAAAUAAAAUAAAAACUCUAUUGUUAUUUGAAAUUGAUGAAAACAUAAGGAUAAUUGAGUUAGGGACAUAUUUGAAGAUUAAAUAAAAACUCUAUUAUUAUAAUAAAUUGAUGAAAUCAUAAACAAGUUAAAAGAUAGAAAAAUACACCCUCAAUGUUCCAAUUACGUAAUGAGGAAUUAAAGUAAGAGACAAACUAGAAGACAAUAAAAACAUACAUUCUAAUGCCCGGUAUUGGUUUUGUAGUGCAUUGAAAUGUGUGUUUUCCUUAUCUAUUAUUUCUUGUUGGAACAUUACUCACUCACUCUCUCUCUCUCUCUCUCUCUAUAUAUGUGUGUGUAGAAAUCAUCUAGCAAGGAUUCUCGCACUUUAUUAAAGUACGGAAAAGUUUUUAAAUCAUGUGGUUUAAUAGUGUAUAUACAUAGCACUAUUAAAUCAUUUGAGUAAAUCUUGUACUUUAAUAAAAUAUGAGAACCCUGCUACAUAAUUGUGUGUGUGUAUGAUUUAAUAGUGUUACAAUAUUAUAAACAAUUUUUACAAUGUUCUAAAAUAAUGUACAAAAAUUGACUUUUUCUAAUGAUGAAGAGUACGUAAUAGUACUCUUCUUUCUCUGUUUAGAAUGAAUUGCAGGUUGCGUUCCAUAUUCAGAUUUAAAGCCAAGAAAAGACUAAACUUUAAUAUGGGUACAGGUGUAUUUUUUUUUUUUCAUCUUUCAAUAGUGAAAGGUUUAGAAGAAUAAUGAAAUGCGCAUCGUCGCGGAAGUUAUUGUAUGUGAUGGUCACCUAGUAAUUAGCCGGAUUGUUAAAAGUAACCAAUGAAUAGGUGAUACAUGGCCCAUCCCACACAAUAACGUAUAGGACCGUGCGCACUUGAUCUGGUCUCCUUUAUCUUAAGCUAUGUUCUUUCUUCUUCUUUGACCGAGCCCUUCAAUAAAUCAGCACAGGCGUCCAACAUAAUUAUACUCUUACGAAAGGGCUUUUGAAGAUAAACUCUUUAGUGCAAUUUCGUUCUCCCUCAAUUUAAUUAGGAUGAUGUUUAAUUAUUUAAAUCGACUGCAACUUGCAAUUUUAUUUAAAAGGGGAUUGUGUUCAAGGGAAAGAAGAUGAAGAGAAUUCAAAAAUAUACAUUUAAUUUUUAUUUUAAUUAAUAUAGAUUUUUUUUAAACUUCAAUAAUGAUACAUCAGUUCUAUUUUAUUUGAAGUUAGUAUUUUAGUGCAUCGUUGCGCAUAUUAUCAUUCUUCUAAAUACCUGUUUGGUAUGGUUUGUCUAAUGGUCAUAAGUAAUUAUUUAACCUCAUUAGCUAUUAGCAAAAUUUUGUUGUUGUUUGGUUGUUUUUUAGUAGAGUUUUUAAAAAUUAAAUAAGUUAUUUUGCCUCUAUUAGUAAAAUCUUAAAUUUUGAGCUUUUCGAAAGAGAUGUCAAAAAGUUUUUUUUUUAAUGUUAAAAUGUCCAAAAUAUCUUUUACUUAUUUAACAAUUUUACUUCAUUUUUUUAUGUCACAACUUUAAAAAAAUUUGUCUAUCAAAAAGUAAUUUUAUAUUUUUUGAUAAAAGUUCUUAUGGGCAACCAAACAACUAAGAUUUUUUUAGUAAAAACUCUACCUACAAAAGUUCCACUAACAAAAGCUCCAUUUAAAUAGGCUCUAUAAUUAUACCAAAUAGAAUCUAAGAUUAUGAUGACCCUACUAAUAUUAAAAGAUGCCAAAAUAUAUACAUAUAUAUCACACCUAUACCCAUAUUAAAGUUUAGUUUUUUGUUGGCGUGAAUAUGGAAGGCAGCUUGCAAUUCUUUUUAAAAAGAGAAAAAAAUAGUACUGUUAUUAGGGGUAGACCCAAGACUUUAUAUUAUCCCGGGCUCAACUAAUAAUUUUAUAUUAUAAAGUGAGCAUAAACAUCCAUAAAUAUAAAAAAAUUCAUCAAAUAAGGGAGACACCAAAAACCGUGUAGAUAGGUACUCUAAAUAAAAAGAAUUAUAGAAAAAGUGUAGAAACUAAAAGACAAUUCAAAUAUAAAAACAUUAUUUUUCAAUUACCAAAUCUGACAUUGCAACAUAUAAUAACCUAUAAUUAUAUAAGAAUUAAUAAAUCAAUUAAGAAUUUCAAGCUAAAAUAAAUCAACACUUGUAAUUACAAUCAAUUAAAAAUUACAAGUACAACUUUUAUGUUUGAAAAUUACAUAAUUACCAUGCUUAAAUAAAUUAAACAAUUAAAAUUAUUUUUCUUUUUAAAUUAUAAAAAUAUUAUUAAUCAAAAUUUUAAAUAAUAAACUAAAUUCAACCUAGGAAAAAUGUAUGUGGGUGCUGUUAUUUCUUUACCGGGUACUCUGACUCUCUUCGAAAAACUAAAUGUUGAUAAUUCUUCUAAAAAAACUACUCAAAAUACUCAAAUUUAUUUACUAACUUGUCCUCUUAGUUAACAGAACUAAUAAAUAAAAUAUCAAAAUUUACAUAAAAAGUUUAUGAAAAUGUUGAUAAUUAUUACUAUAUAUUUUUUUCAAGUACUUUUAAUACUAGUGACGAUGUUAUAUUAUAAUAUAAUUAACUUAGGGAGAUAUUUGAAAAUAAAAUAAAAGCUCUAUUGUUAUAUGAAAUUAAUAAAACAUAAAUGUAACUAAAUUUGGAAUAUAUAUGAAAAUAAAAUAGAAACUCUAUCCAUAUGUAAAAUUAAUUGAAAUAUAAGGAUUAAAAGAUUUUUUCCCGACCCGACCGAGUUGUAGGUCCGCCACUGACUAUUAAGUACUUUAUAGUUUUUACUUUUAUUAGUUUAGAAUUUCUUUAUCUUGAAUAAUGACACGUAAACUUUAUUUUUCUGAAGUUGAUAUUUUAAUGCCGUGUGAGCAUUUAUCUCAACUCUUGGAUUAAGUCAUUCUAUGAUAAUUGAACAUGAAUUAUUUAAAUAAAAUACAAGAUAUGUAAAUUUAAUAUAAAAUUUGUAAAUUAACAUUAAGUAUAAAAUAAAAUAUAAAUUAUGUAAAUAGAAUACAAGACUUGUAAAUAGGAGAUAAAACAAAUAAAUUAACGUAGGGUGGUAAAUUGGUGUAUUAUGAUAAAUAAAAAUAGAAACAUGCAAAGAUAAUAUAAAACUUGUUAUCAACAUUAGAUGUCAAAUAAAACAUUAAUAAUAUAAAUGAAACAUAAGACUUGUCUAUUAACAUUUUUCAUCUAAAGAUUGCCAUUAAAGUUUUGAUUAAUAUGUAUGUGUGUGUGUAUUGCUUCAGACUAAAGAUGAAGCCAUUUCAGCUAAGCAAGGCUGGUAAAGGUGUAGUGACGACGCACUAGGUAAAGUGAUUCAUUCGUACUGCCUUUUUUUAUUAUGUUUGUCAACUAUGAUCUUUUUUAUAUUUGAAUGCAUGUUAAGUAGUUGAUGGAUGCGUGCUUUGCAUUUAUUUGUGUUGGUUUGGUUACUAUUUCUGUGGCUAUGACAGUCUUAUGCAGUGGCUGUGAUUUUUAAUAAAACAAAUUGUUAUAACUAUUUAUUCAUUUAACGGAAAAAUUGCUCUCUACUGAGUAAAAUAAUAAUGAUAUUAUAUGCAAAUAUAUGUGUUUCAUAUCAGAAAAGGUCUUGAAUGCCUACUUUGAUGUUACUUGUAUCAUGAAACAUUAUAUAGUUCGUAAUGCAUGAUUUUUUUAAAAUCAUUUUCAGUUUUUGGUUUUUCUAAACCCACUAAACAUUGAAUGAGUUACUCUAAAGAAUUGUGUUGGUGAUGAUAAAUUUCCGUGCAUAUACUGAAUGUUUUGGAACUUUAUUAGCAUAUAUGUAUACAAUAGACACAAAUAAAGCAUUGUUUAUGGUAGUUAUUUCUUUAGAUUGGUGACAAUACCAUAUUGAAUUAAGCAAAAGCAUUAAAGCUAUAGGAGCAGAUAGAUUAUUUCCUACUGCAUUUUCUUUUACUUAAUUUACUGUAUGUUUUCAACUGAUUUUGGGGUAGGAAAAUCCAAAAUCUAUCUUAAACAAUGAAUUUAUAUUUUUGGGGGAGACGGGGUACCUCACUAGUUUAUUGUGUGCGGUGUGGUGUCUCUGAAAUUCGGAGGAGGUGAGAAUGGGAGAGAGAGUGGUAACAAUGGUGGAAGGUCAGAGACAAGAGAGGUGUCCUUCAAAAUGAGCUUCACGCCUACAAAACAAUGAAAUUGAGGUUAGAGGUGAAGCCGGGGUACCCCGGCGUUCACACUCCGACGCUCAAGUUAGCAAACUUAAGUUUUUAUGGCAAAGAGAGCUAGCCAGCCCUCUGUAAAUUAGGGUUUAAGGUUGAAGAAAACCUUUUUUUUUUUGGAGUGUGAGUGUUUUUUGGGCGAAUGAGAGCAUGAUAGAGAAUGAAACCUAGGCGCCUUUAUAUAUGGAGUACCUUAGCUGCCACGUGGCGUACCCUUUUUGGCUAACGUCUUUUUACCAUUUUUAUGAUUCUUGGGGCCGUUAUGUGCAUGUUCACGGCGUAUCUCAUCUUUUGGAAACGUGGCGCGCUCUGGAGAGUGGUUCGGGGUACCUCUGCAGUAGCUGUCGAGUAGGCGGUUGGGGACCACUGUCCUUAGGACAUCGUCCUUCACUUUUGGCAGAGGUCGCAGGCGGCUGUCCCUCCUUUUAGGACGUCGUUUUUUAUUCCUAUUUCUGACAAAAUCAAAUAAUAUCUUUUAGGAGGCGGAGACGUUUCUCAUGGCAGAUAUUUUCGGAGGAUUCUCUUGCAUCCGCUUUGCCGGGUACCUCGAGUUACGUGGGGUACCCCUAAUUAUACGGGGUACCUCUAUUUGUGUGGGGUACCUCUAAUUAUGUGGGGCACCUCAAAUCACGCCGGGCAUCUCGGAUUGUGCGGGAUACCUCAGGUUGUGCCGAAAUCAUUCCAUUGGUUGACACGUGGCGUUCUAUUGCCUUUCCUAUUUUUCCCUCAAACACUAUAUAAAUAAUAAGCUAUUAGAAAUCUAGUAGAACCCUUAACUGAGUUGAUGAACUUGUAGGGAAUUCAUUGCAUAUCGAUGAGAAACCGGUGGCAUAAAUUCUGGUGGUUAACCCGAAUGGGAACUAUAUUAGUUUUGUACUGUCAAUGUAACAAGCCACGUACAAGUCUUUCCCUCAUGCUUUUCGUCAUGUGUGCUUUAUUUGGAUGGCUUAUGGUUAAAUUUUAUAGAUGUCUGUGUUUGUUGAUUAGGACAACCUUAUUUAGUGGCUUUGAUAUUUGAUAUGAAAUAAGUAAUUGUUAACUUUAAAAUUGAAUAAGUUAUCAACCUUUACUGAGUUCAUAAACUUGUGGGGAAUUCAUUGUAUAUUGGAGGGAAACCGGUGACAUAAAUUCUGGUGGUUAACCCGAAUGGGAACUAUAUCAGUCUGUACUGUCGGUGUAAACAAGCCACAUAUAAGUGGUUACAUUUUGUAGAUGUUUGUUGGCUAGGACAACCUUAUUCAGUGGCUCUGAUAUUUGAUAUGAAGUAAUUAAUUGCUGAAUUUAAAUAAUUUGAUAUGAAUUAAAAUUGAAUAAUGAUGUAGGACAGUAGCUAAAAAACAACGAAAUUUAUAUAAACCAGUCCAAAGUAAUGAUGAUGUGUUACUUUUUUGGUCUCACUAAUUAUGGUAGGAGUUGAUCAAUGGUAGAUAUUGUGAAUAAAGAAAAUGUUAUAUGUGCGUGUUUUCUGAAUGUUAUUGAAUGCUUGUUUUGAUAUUUUGUAUCAGGAUCUUAUUUUGGUAUGAAAAGUGGAUAAGAGUUAGAUGCCAUAUGAUAGAAGGUUUGUGGAGUACAUUAUUGGGGUGAAUAUGUUUAUGGAGUUUGCUCUUGAAAACUCUGGUACUAGUGAUAUUAUAAGGUGUCCUUGCACAAAAUGCCAACAUGUUGCAUUUCAUCCUUCUAGGAUAGUGAAUGAUCACUUAUUUUUUAAGGGUUUUGUUGAGAGUUACAUCAUUUGGAUUUGGCAAGGGGAAAACGAACCUAAUAUGUUUCUACACUUCAUAACAAUGUAUAUUAGUACAUUUGUUGCUUUAUGAACUUUUUCUUCAACAUUUUCACAACUGUGGCUUUAUUUAUUUUAGGCUCCAAUACAACCCGGCUCAUAUGAGUGCGGAUACUACGUCAUGCUGUAUAUGAGAGACAUAAUUGCCGAUGCUAGUUUACAGCUGAAUAAUGUAAAUAUUUCCUUUUUUAAUGGUUUUAAAUAAUUCAUUGUCUUAUGUGUUCUCUACUGAUUUAUUUAAUAUUUAACGCAUUUUCCAAUUUGCAGUUCAAUGGCAAAGCAAUAUACACCCAGGAAAAAAUCGAUGAGGUGCAGUAUGAAUGGGUAGAUUAUGUUUGAUCUCUUAUUUAGAAAAUUGCAUUGUUGCUGCUGAUCUGUUGCAGGUAAUUAGUUUAUAGUUAUUGGUUCAAACUAUUUGCUUUGGCAAAGUUGAGCAGCUAGUAGUUAAUAUUGCAAAACUAAAAUUUAAAUUUUAGUUCAAACUUGGGAACCAAUUGUGUAUUGUAUGAGAUUGUUGUGUUUAGGAUAUGUGAUGAUUCAUGACUCGGAACGUGCAUGUUGUAUAUGAGAUUGUUUAAAUCAGGCGUUGUGGUGAUGGUUAAGUUGUAACAUGCAUGUUGUAUAUGAGAUUGUUUAGAUCAGGAGUUGUGGUGACAGUUAAAUUGUAACAUGCAUGUUAUCUUCAUAUUACUAUGGAAAUUUGUCAUUGAGAUUGCUAUGUUGGGGAGUUACUGCUAGGUUGAUGACUCAUGCUGGUGAGCGAUCAGUUGAUGAGUGAUGCAUUGUUCAAGUUAUGAUGAUUUUAUGUGUUGAUCGAGGUCUUGGAAUAAUUUUAGUUUCUACGUUUGCUUUAAACAUUGCUUGUUGGUUAAUUUGCUUUGAAAGGUUUGCUUGAACACUACUUGCUGGUUAACUUGCUUUCAAAGGUUUGCUUUGAACAUUGCUUGUUGGUUAAUUUGCUUUGAAAGGUUGUUGUGACGAUUGAGCUAGUGGCUAAGUACCAUGCAAAUCGAGCGAAUUGCCUAGUUACUUUAAUCUUAGCUUGUAAUUGUAAUUGUUUCUGCAUUUUGCAGGUGUUGCUAAUCAUUAACUUGCUGAUGCUAGUUUCUUCAGGUGUUCAUGUUGUGGAUUUAUGGACUUGCUAAAGUUUAUAUGUGUUGUAGCUGAAUUUCUUGUUCAAAUUUGUAUUUUAUAAGUUUAUUGGGGAACAAUUUCUUACUUGAGUUAUUACUUUAUAAAUGAUAAUGAAGAUGAAUGUUUAAAUCAUUCAGAUAAAUGUUUAGAGUGAUACUUGGAUUCUCAAUUAUUAAUGACUUUUGUCCAACUUUAUAUUUUUAGCAAUUUAAUUAUAUUUAUAUUAUAUAUAUAAAUAAUAAAUUAUUUGAUAAUAAUAAUAAUAAAAAUUGGCGCCAAAAAAUUAAAAAACAAAAUUAUAAAAUUGGUGUAAAAAAUUAAAAACUUAUUUCCCACCAAAUUAUUUAUUAAAAGCAUUCCCACCGAAUUAAUUUUUAAUUUUAUAUAAUUUUUCAUUAAUUUUAUAUUAUUUUAAUAAAAUAUCUAUUUUUUUGAUAAAUAUUAGUCAUCCAGGUAAAAAAUAAUGUCAGACAAUAGUCAUAAGUCAAAGACCGUUUUAUAAUGGAUAAUACAUCAUAAGAUUCAUGACAUGAAAAAACCAUCAUCAAUAAUUUCUUGACACAUGCUUUAAUUCUUGACACAGGCUUCAAUGACGGUUGGGCAAUCGUCAUCUAAUAGCGUGCAUGACCGUCAAAAACCAUCAUUGUUGGGCUUUUUUUUAGUACUGUAAUUGUUUUAUUUUUUUAAACUCUUCAUUUAAUGUAUUUAUUAAUGAGUAAUGAUAGAAGCACAAUCAACUUGUUCAAACAAGUGUGUAUAAACUGAUGUAAGCAUGAAGUAAUUUGUUGUAUAAAAUCAUUAUAGGCCCACAUAAUUAAAAAGAAAAUAUAACUAUCAUCCCUUUUCAGCCAAUAAAAAAUUUGGGAGAUUGAGGAAACGUUAAGACAUGUUGGAACAAUUAGAGCAAAGGAUAACCAUUUGAUAGAAAAUGCACAACAGAAUGAAAAAUUAGUAAAAGAUAAAAUAAAUUUAAAAUUUAACAGAAUUUUUUUAACAAUUGGGGUGUUCUGAUGACUUUUGAAACAUUAGAGGAAAAUGAUUAAUCCACUGAAAUCACAGACCCUGUGUUGUUGAUUCCACAUGAUUAAUCCACCUUUUAGUUUUUUUUUUUUAAAAAAAAAAUUUUCUCAUACGUUUUCCUUAUUGAGGGGGAAAAAAACAACAAAAUGAGUUGCAUCUGCUGUCUCAGAAAUUUUAUGAAGAGAACAAGAAAAAUAAGUUUCCAGUGCUGCCCAAUUUAAGUUGACUGUGUUAAAGAGCUUAGACGACAAGUAGGAAAUAGAUGUAGAAAGUAGCUAGUGAACGAUGAAGAAAUAAUCAUCAAUAAUCUCUUAGACAUUUUACACAGCCUUGGUUUUGUGCGACCACUAAAUAAUUAUAUUUUAUCAAUUUUUAUCAAUUAUAAUCACAGGGUAUAAGUUAAAAAGGGGACUAUAUGACUGUGGAAGUGUGAUCAAUAUUUAAGUAACUAAAGGGAUCGAUGACCAUUUAUCCAGCCAUCCAAGAAAAUGUCCUAUUUUAGUAAAGGGACAAAUUAUAGUAUUUCUAAUAGGGCAGUGAUAUUCCCCCGGCCCUUUUUAUGUGAAACCACCCCAUUGUUUAACCCAUCCCACAAAAAAAAAAUGAAUAUAUUAGUAAAUCCACCCCGUGGAUACCAAAAAUACCCUUGUCGAUUUAAUAUUUAUAAUAUUUUCUUUUCUUUCCUUUUUUUUUCAGAUUUUGUUUCUUUUAAUUUAAAGAACUAAUUGUUUAUUUAAAACUAUCAUAAUAUUGAAAACUCCAUAUUUGGUGUGUGUGUCUAUAUAUAUAUAUAUAUAUAUAUUCCUAUAUGUAAGAGAAGUGAAUUUAUUGAGAAGUACAAGCAUAUUCCCAACAUUUCAUGAAUUCAAAGCAAUUUGACAUCAAUUCAUCCUUUUGCAAUCAUCAAUAUAGCAUCUCAAACAUAUUAAUUCCAUUUAACAAAAUAAAAAUAUUUGUGUUAAGUCUUUUAUUUAUAGAGUUGGCAUCUUAUGGCAAGUCUAGUUAAAUUGGAAUUUUAUUUAUUGCAUAUAUUGUAAUAGAGAUUAAUUUAUUAAUUCCCAAACUUAGUGAGAUUCCAAUUUAUUAAGAAUAUUUGUUUUCUAAUUUAAUUAGAUGUUUAAUUUAGCGAGUCAAUUAAUAAUGAGAUUUUAUAAUUGGCACAUGAAAUCUAUUUAGAGCAAAAAGUUGGUUCAAACAAGAAGUUUAUUAAAUGCUCUAGAUAUUUCUUGGGAGACAAGUAAGAUAAGAAGAUCAGAUUUAUUCCUAUUUAGAUUCAUAUGAAUUAUAAGAUGAAAGAAACUUUUAUUUGGAAAGAAUCCUUGCAAUUUUUGUGAAACCCUAGUGCCUAGAUAAAGAGUGGUAUUUCACAAUUGAAGGCGCGCAACACAGAGCAUAAAGCAGAAUAGCAUAAUACGGCCUCCUCACUAGAGAAUCCGGAUUUAGCGCAUAAUGUUGUGUUGAUUUAUUUUCUUAUCUUCUUUUCAUCUCUGUGGAUCUUAGAUCACUAUACAUUAAAGAAUUGCUAUUAAUCACUUUGCAAAGUACCUUGAGAAUCAUGAAUCAAGAGGGGUAGCAAUUAUUCAAGAGAAGCAGAUUCAGUCUAAGAUUGAGUAAAAUGUAUAGUGAUAAACUAUAAGUGAGAGUCUUAAGUUUGGUAAAUUCAUAGGUUGUGACAUCUUAACUUAGUAAAUUGCUUUUCAUCUAGGCAUGGCCUCAUGGAUGUAGGAUUAGUUAAUCCGAACCACAUAAAAAUCUCCGUGUCAUUUAAUUUAUGCAAUUUAGUAUGUUUUUGAAACGUUAAUAUUUUUUAUACGGAUAAAUAGUAACCGUGAACAGUGUGAUGAACAGUUACCGUAAACAGUAACCAUGAACAAUAAUUUCUAAAAUUAGUUAAGUAAUUAAUUUUAGGAUUUUAAUUGCCUACAUCUAUUUGCAAUAGAUCUAAACUCCUUUCAAUCUGGAAUGCACUCUCAAAUGCCUAAGUUUAUGAUGGACACUCGAGUCAGCCAUGGCCUAUCAACAAUGGCAUAUCAAAGCCUUUAUUAUGUAUUUCUAUUCCUUUGAUACCACAAGCCUUGCUUGUCAAGCAUUUAACAUUCUUGCACCGAUUCACCUUUGUCUGCACGUUCAUAUUACCUUACUGACGUUAUAAGGGUAAAAUUGUCGUUUGACCUAAGCAGAAAAAACAUUGUCUUUUAAACGCGACAUAAAGGAAAAAAAAAAAAAGGCAAAAGUGCUUUAGAACACUACGGGCAAAAAACUAGCAGUUGUUUAUUCAACCUCGUGACCCACCACCAUGCAUAAACAAUGACCAAAAUCCCACCAUUUUUUCUACAAUUUCCAUCCAUUUUCAUCAACGAACAAGCUUCAGUAUCAAAGAUUGAAAGGUCUUGAGGAAAGCCAUAAGCUGCUUAGAAGUCUCGACAUUUCAUAUUGAAGUAUGAGUAGGUUUAUAUGGCUGGUUGUGAGCAGAUUCAAUUAAGCUUGUUGAAUAAAUGAUUCAUGCUUGCUGAUUCUUGUGUUUAAAUAGCCAAAAUUGUAUUUAUUUAGUUUACCAACGGCUACAAUAUUAAAUCUGAUUUUUUUGGUAUUUAUUUAGGGUAAAAGAAUAAUUUUAUGUUUAAGACUUCUCUUAACACGUGCAAACGUAAGUGGAUGGGUACAAUACAAUGUAAACUUCAUGUGGAAUUCUGCCCCAAAAAAUGUGUAUUUUUUACAAAAAAACAAGUGCUGGGCGGAUAAUUACCCUAUAAUUAAAAAUUAUAUAUACUUUUAUAUGCGUAUUGGUUUAUUCUUAUUUUUAUUUAAUAAGUUAAUUUUUGUGUAACAUAUCCAGAAAUUAGCCCAGUCCAAUACAUGCAUACACAUAUCCAUAUAUUUAUAUCCAUAUAUUUAUAGAGUUCUUCUCUAGUGGAGGGGCCCUUAUUCUUUUAGUUUUAAGCCUAUUAAAUUGAGCGGCUUUAUAGUAAAUUGAAAAUUAACCUCUAUUGAGCCGCACUAAAAAAAAUGAGGGUGUCCGCACUCGAGAAUAUUAUAUAUAUAUAUAUAUAGUCCAUUCUAGUGUGGGUGCCUUCAUUUCUUUUUCAUGCGGACACACUUUUAAACCCUACGGUUUUAUAGAGUUAGUUUUAAGCCUAUUAAACUGCACAACUUUAUACUGUAUUGAAAUUAACUUUAUUAAGUCGCACGGAUUAACAACGUGUUUGCACUAAAAUAAAUUAGGGUGCCCAUAUCUGAGAAUGAUUACACACACUGAUACAAUUUGGCCAAUUGUGGUGAAUCAGCUCAAUGAGACAGCAAGGGAAGAGACCCAGCCUCCAGAAAUGGAAAAAGCCCAACCCUUGAAUGAGACACAAGCUAGAGAGCAGCUCAAGACAGGUCCAGCUCGUGCGAGAAAGAAACCAGGAUGGCUCAAAGACUUUGUCAUUUGAGGAAUGUUCGAGAAUGCCUGAGAUAUCAUAAUAACGAAUAUUGUUCUGUUUCAAUUAUUGUUUUGUUAUUAUCAAUUUUAUUCUAUUUAGUUAGUUAAGGGUGCGUGGCUGUUUUUGGAAGGAAGAAUAUAUUGUACUGUCAAGGGACCCGUGAGGUCAUUCAAGGAAAUAUAUCAUUUUGUCUUUUUUCUCAGCUUCGUCUUCUUUCUUUUCUCUACAACUCCCUGUCCCAUUUUUCUUUCUUCAAAUUCUCUUCACCACCGAUUGGAGCCUGCACUCGCUCAAAGAGUGUCGUAUCAACUGGUGCUUUCAUUGCAUUUCAUCUCUUCGCACAAAAAAAAAAUGUCUCUCACAGAACCAACGACUGAUUCAGCGGUCUCUCCACCAUGAAGACGCUCAUUGAAAAUCAAACGCUUGAUGUUCAUCAAACCUUACAACAAUAUAUGUCCACGGUGGAUUCUCUAUUUGAGGAGCUACGUUCCCAAAUCAAUGGUUCCGUCGGAGCUUCAGUGGGUUCUUCCCGUCCAAUGGCGUCGGAACCAGCGUCUUCGACUGUACUGUCAGGUGUUAUUGAUAUCUCUCCUCUGUUGCGUUCUAUGAAAAUGGAUGUCCCAAAAUUUAAUGGCACUGAUCCGAAUGGUUGGGAUUUUCAAAUCAAUGAGUUCUUUGAUUUUCACGGCACCCCUAAUCAUUUAUGCCUCUGUAUUGUAUCUUUUCACGUGGAGGUAAAAGCAGCAGCAUGGUAUUAAUGGAUAAACGCCAACAACUUGCUGAGCACUUGGCAGAAUUUUUUACUCAAUCUUAAGCAAAGAGUUUGGUACAUCUAUGUAUGAAGAUCAUCAAGGUAACCUCUCCAAGCUCACCCAAACAUCGACUAUUGCUGAUUUUCAAUCUGCCUUUGAGGAUUUAAUGAACAAGGUCACGGGCAUCUCCGAGCCAUUGUUGGUUAGUUUCUUUAUCACGGGCUUAAAACCCGAUAUCUGGCGAGAACUAUUAUUUGCAAGACCCACAUCUCUCAUGGAGGCUUUUGCUUUAGCCAAAGCUUAUAAGGCACAAUCGGAAGAAAUCAAGACCUCUAGCCGUUCUUGGACAAAGUGGUAACCCUCAUCUACUCACACCCACCAAACCACGAUUACUGCCUCCCCACAUCCUACAUCAUAUAAAACCCCAACAACAACUCCUCUUCCUAGUUUGUCAGCCACUAAACAAUCACCUCAACCCCCAUUAUUGGCUGCUCCCACCUUGCCCAUUCGUUGAUUAACCCCAGCAGAGUUAAGAGAGAAAAGAGAAAAAGGGCUUUGUUACAACUGGGACAAAAAAUAUAGCGCUACACAUCGCUGUUGUAGCAAGUUUUUGUUAUUAAUGGGUACUGAUGAUGAAGAUGAUGAGCUGAGUGAAGAUGCUUUUAUUCAUGAACAACCAGACGAAGUAGUCACAGCUGACAUAUCCAGUUUGAAUGCCUUGGUUGGGCAAACUAAUCCACGAUCUUUAAGGGUGCUGGGCACCGUUGCCAGCUAUCAGUUUCAUGUGUUAAUUGACAGUGGCAGUACUCACAAUUUUCUUAAGUCGCCAUUGGUUGAAUGCCUUGGCCUUUCCGUUCAAGCUAUAACUCCUUUUCGAGUUUACAUUGGCAAUGGCGAUUUUCUUACUUCUCGAUUUCUCUGCCCUAAGGUGCCUAUCAAUAUGCAGGGGCAUGAAUUUCUUUUGGAUUUCUUCCUUUUGCCAAUCGAAGGCCCUAAUGUUGUCCUUGGGAUUCAAUGGUUACAAAGCUUGGGAAGAAUUUCUACGAAUUACUCCAAGAUGACGAUGGAGUUUCAGUGGGACGGAAAAUCUGUCAUUUUACGUGGAGACCCAAUUCCAAACCCGAAUUUAAUCUCUUUUAACCAGUUUCAUGCCUUGCUAUCCAACUCCAAAAUCGACAACUUAUUUGAACUUCAUUCUUUACCAACUGAACCAUCAGCAACUCACACAUCUACCAACACAUUGCCGGAUAAUGACUUAGCAUUUCCGAGGUCGUUGCUUGAACCUAUUACUACUCUCCUUAAAAAAAUUAAGCCAUUAUUUGCUCCACCCACUGGUCUUCCCCUUCAACGGUUAUUUGAUCACAAAAUACACCUUAUUCCCAAUUCCAAACUAGUCAACGUUCGCCCAUAUCGGUAUCCUUAUUUUCAGAAAACCGAAAUGGAGAAAUUGGUGAGAGAAAUGUUAAAUCAAGGCAUCAUAAAACCCAGCCAAAGCCCGUUUUCUUCGCCGGUAAUGCUAGUAAAGAAAAAUGAUGGCUCAUACAGAUUCUGUGUGGAUUACCGCACUGUGAAUGCGGUAACGAUGAAGGACAAAUUUCCCAUCCCCACCAUUGAUGAACUGUUUGACGAACUUGGCGGUGCUCAGAUUUUCCGUAAACUUGAUCUAAGAGCCGGUUAUCACCAAAUAAGAGUUCAUAAGAGGGAUACUUAUAAAACAGCGUUUCGCACGCAUGAAGGACACUACGAGUUUCUUGUUAUGCCGUUCGGUUUGACCAACGCGCCGUCCAUUUUUCAAGCAACAAUGAACCAACUAUUUGCUUCCUUUUUACACAAAUUUGUUGUUGUCUUUUUUGAUGAUAUAUUGGUAUAUAGUGCAUCAUUGGUUGAUCAUGUGUAUCAUUUGGAACAGGUCAUGAGUUGUUUAUACACAUCUCAAUUUUAUGUCAAACUCUCCAAAUGUUUAUUUUGUUAGGAAUCAAUUGAUUACUUAGGCCAUAUUGUGUCACCUCGAGGAGUGCAUGCUGAUCCGUAAAAGAUCACAACCAUGGUAGAUUGGCCCUUGCCUAAAUCAGUGAAGCAAUUGAGAGGGUUCUUGGGGCUGACAGGGUACUACUGACGUUUUAUUCAAGGCUAUACAACCAUCGCAGCUCCUCUCACUAAGUUGCUUUGUAAGGAGGCUUUUCAUUGGAAUCUAGCAGCUACUCAAGCUUUUCAAGCAUUAAAGAAGGCUCUUGUGGAAGCCCCUGUACUUCACUUGCCGAAUUUUGCCUUGGAGUUUGUCAUUGAGACUGAUGCUUCUAAUGUCGGGAUCGGCGCUGUGCUAAUGCAAGCCGGGCAUCCUCUAUCUUAUUUUAGCAAAAAGUUGGGUCCUCGAAUGUGUGCAUCCUCGACAUAUUUGAAGGAAUUAUAUGCUAUUGUAGCUGCAGUUCAAAAAUGGUGUCAAUACCUCCUUGGCAGAUUUUUCCUUAUACGCACUAACCAUAAAAGCAUAAAUGAAUUGUUUCAACAAGUUAUUCACACACCAGAGCAGCAAUUUUACAUUCGCAAGUUGAUGGGUUAUCAAUUCAGAAUCGAUUAUAAAGCUGGUAACUUCAAUAAAGCUGCUAAUGCUUUAUCGCGAAUUCAUGAAGACAUCGUGACUGAAGAACCCAAACCAACAGCUCUCGGUUUGUCGUUUGUAAGCCAACCUUCUAGUGAACUAUUGACAGCUCUGCACAAGGAAAAUUGCUCUCUUCCUGAUAUAAAACAACUCCAUCAGAGGUAUGCAGCCGGUUCACUUUCUUCUGACUUCUCAGUUCAAGAGGGGUUCCUACUAUUUCGAUAUCGAUAUUAUCUCAGCCCCAACUCAUCAUUAAAAGUCGUGCUACUCAAAGAGUUUCAUGAGACACCUAUGGUAGGACAUGCUGGUAUUAAAAAGACAUUGGUACAUCUUUCAUCGACUGUCUUUUGGCCUAAGAUGAGGAAAGAUGUUGAGCAACAUGUAGCCGCUUCCCUUGUUUGCCAGCAAAUUAAAUACUCAACUCAAGCGCCGGCAGGUCUAUUACAACCUUUGCCUGUUCCUUCAUUAGUUUGGGAUGAGUUAACCAUGGAUUUCAUUACAGAGCUGCCACUUUCGAGAGGAUUUGAAGUAAUUCUGGUUGUUGUGGAUCGUUUAUCAAAGUCAGCUCACUUUGGAGCCUUGCCUUCUCAAUUUACUACCAUCAAAACAGCAGCUUUAUUUACUGACAUGGUUGUAAAAUUACAUGGAUUUCCUAGCUCUAUAAUUUCAGAUCGUGAUCCUCUUCCUUCUAACGUGAAAAUAUCUACCGUGUCUCUUCUCUUCUCAAAUUCUUUCUUUUUUCUUAAAAAUCUGUCCACAUCUUUGCGAACUUUUUAGCAAUUAUUUUGGUGAUAUAUUAAGAAAUAACUUCUUAGGUUGUUUCUCUUAUUUAUGAUGUGGUUAUAUAGAUGAUCUGCAUGCGCUGAGAUAUCCAAUUGUAGAAGUUACUAUAGAGUUGGCACUCAGAUUAUUUGAUUCAGUUGUUUGAUGAUUUCUUCAUUAAUCUAGGAGCCUUAAUAAAGAAGUUUUAAAAAUGUUGAAGUGAUAUAUGUAAAUGGCUUGCUAUUCAUCACUUUGGUAUGAUCCUAAUUGAAGAUGUUUAACAUUCUAAUAAUCCACAAAAUAUAUAUACUUUUACUUAUGUACAUAAAUACGAUCUCAAAUUUUACAAUAAACCUGGAAAAAAUGGAAUUCCUGUUGAAGGAAUCCAUUUAUCGCCUGAAAUGAAUUUUUUUACUGUGAAGUUUUCAGCUUCCAAGCGCUUGAGUAUUCUAUAUCCUUUCCAACGGAUCCUACCAGUAGUAUUAGAGCCAGGUCCUCUAUUAUUGUAUUCAGCAUAGUAAAUGGUGUCCACGCUCUGUCCUUGCCAUUCAAGCCAACCCUCAGGGUCUAUUAUUUCAUCAAGAAAAGUUUGCAAGAUAACUGUUCUUGAAUAAUUUCUCCACGGUCGUCCCAGGUAUGUCUUGAUUGAUGUUCUGUCCUUAGGGAAGUCUUCUGCGGCAGUUAUGGUGCAAUUAUGAAUGAUUAUGCCUCCAUUUCCCUCAGGUUCUUCUCUUCCUUCGGCUGUGAUUGUCUUUACAUUCCCACCCAAGAAACGAACGUAGAUAUUACAAUUUUGGAACACUGCACUUGCAUCUCCGAAUAUAAAAUCUAUUGUACCAUAGAUAUCACACUCUCGAUAGAACUGUUUAUUUCUUCCAGCAUAAAGAGUGUCCUGAUACCCAACAAACUUGCACCGGUAGAAGGCAGAAUCUACUUCACUCAGUAAUGCUACUGCCUGGCCUGUUUCCUGGUCUGGUCCGGCUGUGUUCUCAAACGUUAUAUUCAUUGCCACAAAUCCAGGCCCUUUAAUCGCUGCAUUAAUUUGAAAAAAAAUGAUUAAUAGAUGUUAGAAUCUAACAAGACCAGGUUUACUGAUCUUGUUUUUCUUUGUUGGUAAUUUAAUGCAUAUGUACUACAAUUCAUAAGGAGAAAAAGAAGAGAAUAAAAUUGCAUAGCUGAUCUCUCACCAACUGUAGCAGUCUGGUAAGUUGAUAAAUGACCAUUCCCGUGGCUUUUAUUCCCGGAAAUGAUUGUGUUGUUGAUUCCAUUGCCAAUUAACACCAAAUUCGUUUUCUCUCUGCCAACAACAACAUAUUUAGUGUAGUUACCUUCUUUAAUUUUUAUAUAAUAGGGUUUUCGACUGAAUGAAGGAGCAGCCAAGAUAGCAUCUGAAAUUUUUGUGUAGUUGCCUGAGCUAUCUUGUGCCACAAUCACAUCAAUUCUUUGUGUAAUUUUUCCUUGAGACAUAUGGCAACAGAGAGUUAAAAGGAUUAUAAUUAGCCACGCCAUAUAUUAAUCUCCUCAAUUGUCUGCAGCAAAUGUUUCCCAAGUUUAGUUGCACUAGUGCCAAUACAAAUUAAAGUAGUGCUACAUAAAAUGAACAGCCAUGCAUAUAUUAAUUAAAAACGUAAAAAUAAAAUAAAAACAAAGAACUACGUGGUCCAGAUUUUAUAUAUAUAUAUAGAAAAGGAAUUCGGGACAUUAAAUAUCUUAUACCCAUAAAUAUUGUAGUUGACAGAGCAUGUCUUCGUUCAUGGUUCAUGUUAUAACAAACGAAAAUUAUAAGCAGUACAUCUUAAAACUUUCUUGUAUUAAAAAUAUAAUAAAAAUUUAAAAUUUUCGAUUCUACACCUAUACUACGUAAAGUGUAUUAUUUUUUCCUUUUGUCAAAUUUUUAACAUAAUAUAAAUAUAUAAAAUAACUAUUUUACUCUUAAAUUUAAGCAUAUUUUUUAACUUUUCAUCAUAAAUAAUAAAAUAAAAUUAAAAGAACAAAAAUAAUCAAAACCCAACUAAUUAAUAAUCGCCCAGGUGGUGUUACCAAAUCUGCCAGCAGGUUUGAUCAGGAACUCACAGGCCUCAAUACCUUCCACCAUAGCCUUGUCUUGUUUUUUUUUUUAAAAAAAAUAAAUAUAAACAUUAAAAAAAAAAAAACCCAUCACCAUCAUUUUAUAAUACAAAUCUAGAAAAAAAAUUUCUUAAAUGGUAAAAAAAAACCAUCAACUUGUUACCGAAAUGCAUUUAUUCACAGACGACAUCAACCCCGCCGGCUACCAGCAUCAUCAAAAAACUAGCAUGCGCGACAAAGCAAGCACACGGAGGAAAGAUGUGCGUGGGAAAGAAAGGGAGGAAAUUGUGGUGGUUCCGAUGAGAGAAAGAAAGGGUGGGGCAUAUAGGAAAGAAGGAAAACAAUUUUAUUUACAAUUUACCUCAAAAACAACUUUAAAUAUAAGCAAAUACGGAGAAGUACAUAUAAAAGAGUGAGCAUAUAGAAAAGAAAGAAAAAAAAUAGAGAAAUAAAAGAAAAAAUUAUAUAAAAAUUAAAAUUAAGAUGGAUCAAUAGUUUCUUUUGUUGAUGUAAAAAAUUAUCCGAAAAUGAAAAUAAAACAAAUGAUAUAUGGUGAUGGGGGAGUAAAAUUACUGAACUCCAUUGCAAUCAUAAGAGAAUUCAGUGGCAAGACAUAAUGGCAUAGAAGGUAUAAAAGAUACCAACCGUGACUGAGCAAAUCACUGAACAGUUUCUGAAUUAUCAUGCGUGGGUGGAUACUGGAUACAAAAAUUAAAAUUAAAAUCUGCAAGAAACUCGUUCUGUGAAGUGAAUCUGGUGUAGCUAUUAUGCCUGAUAUUGGUGAGGAGAUGUAUCAUAUAACUAGGUCCAACUUAGGCUUCUUUAUUUAUAGACCAAAAGAAGAGUUGAGCUGUUCAUCAAACCCUUAUUUUUAUUUAGGGUGGGACUAUUUGCACUCUAACAUAUACUUUGCACACUCUAAUUUUAGUCAACUUUUAUAUUAUUAAAAUAAUCUUAAUAUAAUUUAUUGAAUGAGUGUGUAGAGUAAUAGAGUGUUCAAAGUAAAUUUUUGACGCAAAAAAUGGUACCUGUUUUAUUUAUAAUUUAGAUUUACAUAUUUUGUCACAUAAAUCACACACUCAUUCCUCAUCGNNNNNNNNNNNNNNNNNNNNNNNNNNNNNNNNNNNNNNNNNNNNNNNNNNNNNNNNNNNNNNNNNNNNNNNNNNNNNNNNNNNNNNNNNNNNNNNNNNNNNNNNNNNNNNNNNNNNNNNNNNNNNNNNNNNNNNNNNNNNNNNNNNNNNNNNNNNNNNNNNNNNNNNNNNNNNNNNNNNNNNNNNNNNNNNNNNNNNNNNNNNNNNNNNNNNNNNNNNNNNNNNNNNNNNNNNNNNNNNNNNNNNNNNNNNNNNNNNNNNNNNNNNAUUAUUGAAAGUUUAUAAUUACAUUAGUAAUUUUUAGGAUUUUUUCAAAUUCAAAAAAUAAUGUAGAAUACGAAGAUAGUAAAAUUGCAAAAAAUGAAUAGGCUUGAUGAUAAUUUUCUUACAAAACAUAAUAAACACUUUGAGCAAAUAAAAUAGAGGACUAUCGAUAUACAAUAAUUAUAAAAAGUAAUAUAUUUUCCUAAAAUAGUGGAUAAGAUUUUCUUCCAAGCGGCUGAUUUAAUAAAUACUAAGUGAAGAGUUUUAAAAAUUUCAAAACAAGAUCAUAUAAAUUUGGCAAAGGGAAUGAUUUUAAGAGUUUGAAAUGUGUUUAAGAAAAUACAAAAUAAGAAAAUAUUCACAUAUUUAAUAAAUUUAGUGGCUUCUGCGUCAGAGAAAUUGAGGAUAUGGAAUCAAAGUAAAGUUAACAUAUUUAGGGAAUUUUAACCUAAAAUAAUUUUUGAAUAACUUGGGCACCCAAAACAUCCUAAAUUAAUCAGGGUGCAUUGUUUGCUUGGAGAUAUUUUUAUAAUCAAAUUAAUGCAUCGAAAAAUACAUUAGAAAGGAAUACCUAAGAUGAUAGUUUUAGUAACCAAAAAGAAAGAUAAAGGUACAUUGCUUAAGUAUGAGUCAAUUAUACGUUCAAUGUAUACGUAUAACAUAGAGUUGAGUUUUCAAAAUGUUGGUAAUUGUACUACUUUACUACUAAUAUAGAUACUAUCCUCUCGGUAUUUAUAAUCAGAGAGGUGCUGGCGCAUCUUUGAAAUGUUUCAACUGUAUAAUGCCAUUAUAUAAUGUAAUAACUUUUUCAUACUUUAACAAAGUCUAAUAUCCUAAAUUAAUGUAAUAAACAUCAAUUUACUGUUAUCUUACUUGAUAAAUUAGAAAAAUCAUGAAGUUUUUAUUUAAUUUGAACCGCACGCUCAAUUUGAAAGCUAAAAUUAUGGAAAGGAGUGCCCCACACGGUACAUGUUGAAGAGAGAGAAUGCAUUGAUUUAAUUGACUCGCGUCAACUUUAUACACUAAAUAAUCGCUCUUUCCAGGAGAUUAUUGCUCUAUUAAUUCUUCGCUUUUUUUUUCCCUGUUUUUCUUUUCCAUUAACUAACUUUGUUACGUAGACGUCGAAAGGUUUCUACUUUCAAUCGGAAUUUCUCACAAAAGGCUUGUACUUUCAAUCGAAAUUUCAAAAGCAUUUCUUAAAAACGUGGCCAAAUUUUUUCUUUAAAAAAAAAAAAGGGCCGCGGAGGAGAUAUUUUUGGAUAUGUAGACAGCUAAAAUUAGCAUCUUUAUUCUUAAGCUUAAAGCAUUAAUUACAAAUGCGAUGGCAGUUGCCGGAUCCACACAUUUUCAGGGCAUUUUUGAAGACAUUAUUCAGCGCAAUCACCUUUGUUUUGACAAAGUCCAGGAAAAUCAAUGCAUCUACAAUAAUCACGAUAACAAAAAUUUUUGCAGAUCCUCAUCGCCAACACACAUAAGAUAUGCGCCUCCUAGAAUGAUAACAACAGACUUAAUUUCAGAUAACCAAGCGAUAGAUGCAUCUACAAUACAGCGGCUAAUCUGUUAUAUAUACUCCAAGAAUCUCGUAUGCUGUAGGUAACAUGUCAUAAGCCAAGAGUAUAACAAAAAAUUUAGAGUUUUCAUUAGAAAUGUGCUCACUAAUACUAUUAAAUAUGCAAAAUACAUUUUAAUAAGUACAAAUGGAAGCUUUUAAAUACGAACUUCUGUACAUUUUAAAGUGUUGUUUAUUUCUAAAUUCACAUUUUAAAUACACUAACUUACGCCAAAAAAAAAAAAGAUUAAUGUAUUUUAUGGGAUGGGAAAGAGACUAACGAGAUUAUUGCACAAGAUAAGAAUGAUCAGGACUGAGGUCUUGAAAGAAGUUGUUUCAUCCAUGUUUACAUAAUAAUGGCCUUGGGGCUUUGAUUUACAGUUACAGAGAAAGUGGGGUCUCUGUAAUGGGCCAGUGGCCCAUGGGCACUUAUAAUUUUAUAUCCAAACCUUUGAGACGAUUAAGCUAGGUGCAAUUAAUACAAAUGAUGGCGAUAUCUUCUGGCCCAAUGUGAGAUUAGAAUGUCAGCUAAGCAAUUGCAUCAUUCACUAGUUAUCAUAACUUUGCAGUUAAUAAUGGCAAAAAAGUCUGGUUAAAAGUCAUAAAUACACGGUUAAUGACGGCCAACAAAUCCAGUCAAUGAAUGCACAAUAUCCGUAUGAAUAUCCAAGUUUGUGCUCUUUGUUGUAGUACAUAUUCUAAUAACUGUUUGCUUCCUCUCAUUAUUAGUCCUUGGGGUGGGGGGAAAAAAACUCUAUGGUCUCACUUGAAUUAUCCAUAGAUUUUCACUUGAAUUAUCCAUAGAUUUUCCUAAUUUCUUUGUUUUAAUAUCUCGUUAUUAGUCCUUGUUGCAAUGCACAUCUUCAGCCUGAAUUUGCCCUUUGUCUCUUAAUUGAUUUCUUGAAGCAAUUUAUGAUAUAUGAAGCAAUCGCUAACAAAAUGAAUUAAUGUUAUGCUUUGCACCCACUGACAUUCAUUAUCAAGCACCCACACCUAUAUAGAAGCAUGUAAUCAUAUAUAUUCACUCCAUAGACUUUAAUUGUAAACAUCUGAAGCAGUUGGGGGUUCAUAAUCAUGACCAUCUUAAGCCUGAAUGCGACAAGGUCUUCUAAUUGAUUUUCUAAAAUACAAUAUCACCUUGAUUGUAAGGGGAAUCAUGUGCCCAAGAAAUAGAGUUCCCCCCAAUGCAAAACCAUACGUAAGAUAAAAUAUAUGGAGCAGAUGGAAGCAAUGAAACGUAUAUGGUCUAGCAGGAAAUCUAUAGAGGCCAUGUAAGUCAUUCCCUUUGCUGAGAUUGCAACCCACAUUGUCCCCAUCAAAACCCACAUAAAAAUCCUACGCUUCAGUAGUGGCAAGCCGCUCAUGAGCAGUAGUAUAAUGCUCAGAGAAGCCAGAAAACCAGUGGUGUUGAACAAUAAAAAGCAAGUGUAACGAUGUGUAGUUGCUGAUGUCGGCAAGAAGAAGCAGAAGUGUCAUGCCAAGGACUAUUUAGGAGGGUCCGCACCAGCUUGGAAAGCCAUGCAGCAAUCAGUGAUGCCACCACCAUUAUGGCAUUUCGCAUUUUUUCCAACCAAUCAUCUUCCAGCUUUUUAGUUGAAUUUUCUAACCCUUUACCUUGUUGAUUUUGGCUAUUACUUUCAAGGGAUAUUAAGCUGUUAGUCUGUUCAUUUGCUGACAAUUGAACAUCCUUUGCUCUAUAUGCCCCAGCACGUCGAAUCAACUCCCCAAUCUCCCAAUCUUUUAUGUCUCUUUUGCUUUGUGCUAGUACAUCCAAUGCUGUGAAGCCAUUUGCAUUAAGAGCAUUCGCAUCUAUCAUAAUUAGUUGUCGAAAACCUUAUGACCUGCAUAUUUGAUUAUUAGUAUAUGAUAAAAAGAAAGCAUAAAUUUCAAUUUAUAUACGCCCACCUAGAAUGACAAUAUUCAACUAACUCUACAAGGAUCAGAAAACAUAACUUUACUCCAUUCGUCGUUAAGAAGAUAAAAAGAAUUUCAUCAACACGCUCUCAUUUUGCUCUCACCUUUGAACAUGAAAAUAGUAGUAAAUUGAUAAUUUCAUAUCUUGCAAGUAUAUAAAAGAUUGUCAUUUUAGUCGGGGUAAAUUAAACUAUACCCAAAUACAAAUGUUCAUUAAAAUAAAUGAGUGCCUAAAAUGUGAUCUGCAUUAGAUUUCUAAACUUGUUAUUUGAAAAGCAAGCCAAAAUUGACCUUCUAAAGCAAUUCUUGCUUGCUACAAAUCAAAUUAUUCGGAACUGGUGGAGAACUUAAUUCAUUAGAAAAACUCUUAAGAUUGUGAUUGAUUUGAACUUGAAGAUUUUUCACCUAUAAGUAUAUUUAUUUCUUUCGCAGCACAAACAAAUUAUGUACUUCACAAAUGUGAAUAAAACAGUACCUCAAUUUGUUUACCUGCAACUGCGAGCUGCAAGAUAGUCAUGCCAUAAUCAUCCUCAGGAUUCAAAACUUGAGGAUCAUCCAUAUAAUCGAAAAAAAAAUUCAGUGCCUCCAGCUGAUCGUGUUUCACACACAGAUUUAAGAUGGUCUCACCCCAUCAUCGUGGCUGAAGCUGCAAGCGGUCAGGUUCUGAACAACUCUCCCAAGGGCCAAGGCAUCAAUCCGUCCUUUCAUGGCUGCCAAAUGAAGAGGAUUUCUUCCAUCCAGGUCACGAGCAAAACACAUGGCAGGAUUAACUUGUAAAACUGAAUUCUGACGUUUGCCUAAAUAAGCUGCUGAGUAUCCUCAGCCUGAUUACAUGGAUAAUUGAAACAACUUUACUAAAGUUUAAUCCUAACAGUGUCAAAACAGUGUGAAAGAUGAUAUAGUUGAUAACAAAAACAUGAGGAGUUUCUUGGCAAAAGCAUGGGCAGCCAUCAAUUCCGAAAAUUUCCCAGCAGCAGCUUAAUGCAAUCAUACAUACAGCUGUCGCUUGAUAGGACCAAAAGAAAAAGAAGCUAACAAUGUCCAACCGUGAAAAUUCCUUUCUUGUGUUUUGUUUCUGUUUGAUCUUGUAACAGAUGGAAGUAAAAUUUCCUGAUUCAGAUAAAUCAGCCAAAACACAUACUCUGUAGAAUUAACUGAGUUCAAGCUUUCACUAAAAAGCUUCUCUUCUCCCUACUCCUGCUUGCUGCCUGCUCACAUGUACAUUUAGCACAAAGGAAAUUGGAGAAUUUUUCAAUCAACUGGACAAAAGCCGAAUUAAUGGAGAAUUGUGAAUCAGGCGCUGGUUCAAAGAAGGCGGAAAAAACUGCUAAUAAUUUACCUCCUUUUGCAUUAAUCCCCAAUCUAGCACCAUUCUCACUCUUCAUCACUUGCUCUGCAAUUGUCAAAAAUGAUUCGGUUCAAAAUUAUCCUACAUUCAAUGACAGACAAAAAGGAGAGAUUACCAUCAUUACACCCAUACCAAAAAUUUAGAAACUGUUGCAUAUAUUCCUAAUAUAGAAUUUGAUUAAAAAUAGUUUAUGGUCCUUAAUUAGAUAGCAGAUAACAAAAAUGCAGAAGAAGAAAUUACCUUUGGCUGAGGAUGAUCAUAAUUGCAGUGCAACUGGUUGAGAAUUUUGUCAAUUGCUGCCAUGAAAUGGUUUCAUUUCCUUUGGGUUCUGUCAUGGGCAAUCCUUCCACUAGUAAGCUUCUCAUUUCAUUUCCUGCCCUGCUUCCUGCAUCAUAUGAUACAUUAGAUGACAAUACAUGUAAUCUGUGGCAAAUUGAGCUUCAGUCUUUUAUUGUCCUGAGCUCGAAAGGUUAUUACCCAACUCCAAAGCCAAACAAAAUGUAGGUCACUUGACCUGCAAAAGAAUUGCUUGUAUUGCACUAAUAAUCUUUACAGUAACGUCAUCAUAUCACAAAUUAAAAAUUGUAUAUUCAUAGGAUAUGAAAAUCAGAAUAUUAGAAAAUAUGUAUUUCCAGAUUUUGAUUCAAAAUGAAAUUUAUGCUUCUUAAUUAGAUUAAAAAUAACAGCAAAGCAAAUCAAAGUAAGAGAAGAAAUUACUUGUCAACGCCCAAUCUCAAGGUUGGGAAUGUGAGAUAUCUUAGGCCAGUCUUCUCCUUCCCCCCUUUUGUAACGUUCUACCAGAAUAUCACAAUCCCACCCAAUGCGCAAUUCCUUCAAUGUUGUCCUUUGAUGGAUGUGGUCGGGCAGUGCCUUUAAUUUGGGGCAACUGAAAACUUCCAAGGAAGAAAGACAUGGCAUCAUGUUGAUGAAGGCUGGCAUGAUGUUGAUGAAGGCGUCUCCCGUUCUUAUAAUCCCAUAAUCCCACUCGUCCAAUUCCUCCAAUCUCCCUUGAUCCCUUGUGCAGAAAAUUGUCAAUAAUGGCAAUACAUGCAAUCUGUGGCAAAUUAAGCUUCGUUUUUUUGUUGUCCUGACCUCGAAAGGUUAUUGUUCAACUCCAAAGCCAAACUAAAUGUAGGUCACUUGUCCUGCAAAAGAAUUACUCAUAUUGCAUUAAUAAUCUUUUACAGUAACGUUACCUAUCUCACAAAUUAAAAAUCGUAGGAUGUGAAAUCAGAAUUUUAGAAAGUAUGUAUUGCAGAUUUCUGAUAUAGAGUUUGAUUCAAAAUGCUAUUUACGCAAUUACGCUUCUUAAUUAGAUUAAAAACAACAAAGCAAAUCAGAAUAAGAGAAGAAAUUACUUGUCAAUGCCAAAUCUCAAAUGCGCAAAUAAUUAAUAUAUAUGUUGGGAAUGUGUGAUAUCUUAGGCCAAUCUUCCCCCUCCCCCUUGCGGUAACGUUCUUCCAGAAGGUCACACCCCCAAAUGCUCAAUCCCUUCAAUGUUGUCGUUUGAUGAAUGUGGUCGGGCAGUGCCUUUAAUUUGGGGCAAACAGCAAUUGCCAAGGAAGAAAGACGUGGCAUGAUGUCGAUGAAGGGGUGUCCCGUUCUUGUAAUCCCAUAAUCCCACUCCUCCAAUUCCGGCAAAUCCUCAAUGAAAAGUGAUUGCAAUUUGGGGAAGGCAAUAAUAACCGAUGAAGAUGAAGAUGAGUCAUGAUGAUCACUUUCUAUCCCCAAAAUUUCAUUACCCACUCUUUUCACACUCUUCAUGUCCGAUAUAUAGAGCUUUUCAAGGGAUGGCAAUUUUCCCAAAGGAGGCAGCUGCUCACAAUUUUCGCACAAAUGGAGAUUUAAACUCCUUAGAUUGGUUAAUGANNNNNNNNNNNNNNNNNNNNNNNNNNNNNNNNNNNNNNNNNNNNNNNNNNNNNNNNNNNNNNNNNNNNNNNNNNNNNNNNNNNNNNNNNNNNNNNNNNNNCGCUUUAGGCCUUAACAAGGCCCGCACGGAUUUGUUCUUGGGGCGCCCAUACACUCCAAAACGCAUCUUGCCAAUUAAGGUGUGGAUCACCCCUUAUAAACCCAGCAUCUCUCCCGUGCUUUGCCGAUGUGGGAUUCGCCUAGGGUGUUACAUACACCCCCCCUUGGGGACUCAGCGUCCUUGCUGAGGUUUGCUCCACCAUCGCUCAAGAGGACACGCGGAGCCGCUUUGAUACCACAAUGUCAUGACCCAACCCAGACCUGACAAGAUAUUGUCCGCUUUGGGCCUUAACAAGGCCCACACGGAUUUGUUCUUGGGGCACCCAUACACCCCAAAACGCGUCUUGCCAAUUAAGGUGUGGAUCACCCCUUAUAAACCCAGCAUCUCUCCCGUGCUUUGCCGAUGUGGGAUUCGCCUAGGGUGUUACAUGAUCCACGCUAAAAUCCACGCAAAUAGUAUCAUAUUAAUUGGUAAAUCAAUUAUAAGCAAAAGUAUAAGACUAAGAGAAGCAAGGAAACCUAUUGUUUGGGAGAAAUACGUCGACGAGACCAGGCACGAUGAGCAGAUAUCUGAUGGCAGAGUUCUGCGAACCGGUGUGUUCCGUAAAAGCCUGGUGCGCGGGGGAACAGGAGCAGAAAUAUCCUGCUCGUCCACGGGCACGUCAUCCGCGAGGUAAAUUUCCUAUAAGAGGCAUAAGGCCAUUCCGGCUAGAGGUCGAGAGGCGAGGAGACCCGGUCGAUGGCAGUUGGCAAGGCAUACUCUCCAGCCCGAGAAUCUAGGCACGACAGCCACGCUUUCCCCAGAACCGUGGCGUAACACGCAAGAUCCCACGUUUGCCCAUAACGCAGCAUAACGCAGCAGUCGGAGUCCCAUACCGUCCCCCAAAAAAGCGGAAACAAGAUCUCACAAAACCACGACACCACGCUUUCCCCAGAACCGUGGCGUAACACGCAAGAUCCCACAUUUGCCCAUAACGCGGCAGUCAGAGCCCCAUACCGUCUCGAAGAAAGCGGAAAACUGGGAUUCAGAGGAAGCCUAUAAAAAGGUAGCCAACGAAGGUAACUGGGUUAGCAUUUUUGAGAUUAGAAAAGAAAUUCUAAAAGAGAGAAAACAACCUAACAGCCAUAAGAUUUGUGGCAAGUGUUCCCCGAACCUUCAUAUCUGACUUGAGCGUCGGAGGGUUUGCGCCGGGAAAACAACCGGCGUACUCUGACCUAUCUGUGUGCGCAGAAACCUCUGGAGAAGAAGCCUUGCGAGGAGACCCCCUGGUCGUGAUGAAGUUGAUCGAGCAGAGAUCCUGAUCGUAGAACGAGGAGAACCGGAAUCUCGCAUCAACACCUAUAGUGUUCCAAACUACAAAAGAAGAAGCGGCUAGCUCAGGGCUCUGAGGAGGGUCCACCGCUGCUUGAAAACCCAUCGUAGAAAUCACUGAUGCUACAACCAUUGCUGCAUUACGCUUUUUUUCCAACCAAUCGUCUAAAUUCCAAGGAGUUCCUUUUAAAUCUUUUUUACCUUCAUGCUUUUGAUUAUUUUCAUCGGAUGUUACGCUGUUGGUCUGUGUGACGGCAAGUUCAUUUACUGGCAGCUGCAGAUCCUUUGCACUAAUUGCUCCAGCACGUCGAAGUAAUUCCCCAGUAUCCCAAUCUUUUAUGUCCCUUUUGCUUUGUGCUAGGAUAUCCCAUGCCGUGAAGCCAUUAGCAGUAACAGUAUUCACUUCGAUUGCAGUACUGGUUGUCAAAAACUUGAUGGCCUGCAUGGAUGUUAAUAUUAACCAAUUCCUAGAGAAACAUUUUUGUGUGUAUCGAGAACCCUACUUUUAUAUGUGAUAUGAGUGAUCGAUACCUCAAUUUGUUUAUCAGCAACUGCAAGGUGCAAGAUGGUCAUGCCAUAAUCAUCCUUGGCAUUCAAAAGUUCAAAGUCUCCCAUAUUUUCCAAUAAAACUUCAGUGCUUCCAACUGAUUGUGUUUCACACACAAAUGUAAGAUGGUCUCACCCCAGAUCAGACGGGUAGAAGCAGCAUCCGGUUUUGCUCUGACCAGCUCUUCCAAGACAUCAAUAUGGCCUCUCAUGGCUGCCAGAUGAAGAGGGUUUCUUCCAUCAACAUCUGUAUCAGAACACUUGUCUGGGAUGACUUGUAACAGUGCCUUUACUAUGCCGACAUAACCUUUCUGUGAUGCUAUGUGAAGAGCUGAUGAUUUCCGCGAGUCUAACUCUUCAGCAAUCCGAGGCUUUUGGGGUAAAAUCUCCUUCGCAAAGUCCUCGUGCCCAAGCAAUGCUGCUACAUGCAGCGGAGUCUCAGAGAGACAAUUCACUGUGGGUCUCUCAAGAAUUAAUGGGUCUUGUUGACGCAAUUCCAACAAGGUAUUCACACUCCCUGCCAUCGCUGCUUCAUAAAGCUUCCUUUCCAUGUUCUCCAUCUUGUGUGAUCUGUGCAAAUAGAUAUUAAAAGACCUGCCUGCUGGUAUUUAUACUUGCAAGAGCUGAGUGCAACCCUUUGAUUAAUGCAGGUGAAAGAGCUGUAAAUAGCUAAGAGAAGUUUGGUUGCACUUUCCAUUCUUCCCGGUGGUGUUUAAAGAGGAUUUGUUUUCAAUUUUUUUUGCCCCCCAGCAAAAAUCUUUAGACCUUUCUAUGUUCACGUAUUUCAAAGGAGUCCCAUGCGGAGAAAAACAGUGAAGAAAAAGUGGAUGCGAGGGAAAUUAUGACAUCAAAAGUUGUGGUUGAUGACAUCAAAACGCGCACAACGCGUUCUCGAAUUUAUAACGGUUAAAUUCGAAUACUGCAUCUGCAAUUAUGCAACGGUUCGUUUACAAAGUGGAUGUGAAUUAUUUGAGGAAGACACGUGUCCUUUUCUCACGGUUUCAGUGCAAUUCAACUCAGUUGAGAAAAUAACCAUCAUCCUUAUUUUUAUUUCAGUGAUGCCAUCCAAAGUCCAACAUGUUGAUUAUUACAAUCGUAUUCGUAUUUCAAAUUCAAAAUACAUCCACAAACUCUGGCUGCUGCCUCUUCUAUCAAUUCUUUUGCAUCAUCUAUCUGUAUAAAUUUGAGUUAAUCCUCCGUUCCUCUAUAUUUGUACAGCUAUCGAACUUGACUCUUUAAUUAUAAAUCUGGAGAUUCAAGUUCAGCUCCAGUUUCUCAGAAGUGUUACUCGCUUAUUCUCGAUAACACAUAUGCAUGAAACAUCGUCUAGAAGGAAAUCUAUAGAGACCAAGUAAGUUAGUACCGUUGCUGUGAUGGCAAACCACGUGUCCCCAUUAGAAUCCACAUGAAAAUCCGACGGUUAAGCGGUAAGCCGCUUAUGAGCAGUAGUAUAAUGCUCAGAGAAGCCAGAAAACCUGUGGUGUUACAAAAUAAAAAGCAAGCGUAACGUUGUGUGGUUGCAUCUAAUUCGAAAGAAGAAGCGUCUUGCCAACGACUGUGAGGAGGGUCCACACCAGCUUGGAAAGUCAUAGUAGCAAUCAGUGAUGCUACCACCAUUAUUGCAUUUCGCAUUUUUUCCAAUCAAUCAUAUCCAUACUUGAGAUGUUUUUUCAAACCUGUUUUACCUUCUUUCUUUUGAUUAUUUCCAUGUGAUGUUAAGCUGUUGGUCUGUGUGAUGGAAACUUUAGUUGCUGGCUGCUGCAUUUCCUUUGCACUAAUUGCUCCAGCACGUCGAAGUAAUUCCCCGAUCUCCCAAUCUUUCAUUUUCCUUUUGCUAUUUGCUAGGAUAUCCCAUGCGGUGAAGCCAUUUGCAUAACAGCAUUCACUUUGAUUGUAGUACUAGCUGUCAAAAACUUGAUGGCCCGCAUAGAUGUUGUUUACACUUAAUAUAAGAAAUUAAGUUUGUUGAUAUUAAUCAAUUCCUAAAGAAACAUCUUUUUGUGUAUUUGCAUUGAGACCAUACUUUUAUAUGUGAUAUGAGUGAUUCCAUACCUCAAUUUGUUUAUCAGCAACUGCAAGGUGCAAGAUGCUCAUGCCGUAAUCAUCCUUGGCAUUCAAAAAUUCAGAGUCAUCCGUAUUUUCCAACAAAACCUUCAGUGCUUCUAGCUGAUUGUGUUUCACACACAAAUGUAAGAUGGUCUCAACCCAGAUGAGAGGGGCAGAAGCAGCGAGUGGUCUUGCUCUGACCAACUCUUCCAAGACAUCUAUCCGGUUUGACUUCUAACGGUGCAUUUACCAUGCCAACAUAACGUUUCUGUGAUGCUAUGUGAAGAGCUGAUGAUUUCCGCGAGUCUAACUCUCCAGCAAUCCCAGGCUUUUGGCGUAAAAUCUCCUUCGCAAAGUCCUUGUGCCUAAGCAAUGCUGCUACAUGCAGAGGAGUUUCAGAGGGACAAUUCAUUGCGGCUCUUUCAAGGAUUAAUCUGUCUUUUUGAAGGAAUUCUAACAAGGAAGUUACACUUCCUGCUAACGCUGCUUCAUAAAGCUUGCUUUCCAUUUUCUCUAUCCUGUGUCACGUGUGCAAAUUUAGCUUACACAUUUUAGAAGACCUGCCUGCUGGUAUUUAUACUUGCAAGAGUUGAAUGCAACCCUUUGAUUAAUGAGAAAGAGCUGUUAUUUAUUCCUUUUUUUUUUUUUAAUUCGAUGUGUGAAUUUCUAUGAAAGGGUCAAGAAAGUACUGAAGCAUAUAAUCAACAUGUUCCUGCUUGGAUUAAAUUUUAUAUGUGAAACUUGAAACAUUCGAUAGAAGCAAGUAACCUGUCCUUAUCGAAUGGGAUAAUAUAUGGCAAAUAAAUAUUUAUUGUAUAGAUAGAUUUGUUAAACUUCGGUAGUCACUAACUUGACUUUAUUAAAAAUGACAGGGUCUCCUAGUUCAAGUUCUCGGAAAAUGCCGUCGGCAUAACAGAAAUACUAUGUUAAUUUAUCGUGAAUGUGUAUGGUCAAACAUGAUUGAAUUUCGAAUAUUUAUUUGACAAGAUUUUGUUGGAUGGUUAGUGGGAGGACAUACAUAACUUAAAAUAAGAGGGGCAUAUGAAAGCAAUGGAUUAGUGUAUGUUAGGAAAGUUAUAGAAACUAUCAUUUUAUUCUGAUCUAAGGUACUGUGGAUGUAUCUUUUAUUGAGAAAGGAUUUGUGUUCACUUUUCUGUCUUCACCUAUUUCUAAAAGGGGGACUCGUUGGUUGAAUACAAGGUUCUCAACAAACUCUUUCUAUUAAUUUUUAAUGGUAUUAAACAAAAAACGACUACAUUUUCUUAUAUCGAUAUUACACUUGUUAUGUACUAUACACAGUCUGUCUUAUGAUUGAAGUCAAUUAGUAUUUUAUGAACAUAUCUACAUUAACAAAGUCGAAAUAUAAUUUUUUUAUCCACCAGAUGUGAUCUUAGUUGAAAGCACAACAAUGGAGAGCGUGAAUUAUAGUCUUUUAUCUAUUUUGUGCAUUAAAAUUUGAUCCAUUUUCUGUAGAUUGAUUGAGCUGUUCUUGAGUCUUCAUUGAGUUCUGGUGGUUUUUUCUGGCCCACCCCCCAACCCAAAAAAAUCUCCAAGAAAGAACCAAAAAUCAUCCCUCACUUUUCAAUAAUUUGGUUCACCUAUUUUCAUCUUCAAAUCUGAACAAUCUUCGAAAAGUUUAGUGAACUAUAUUAUUUGAGCUUGGGGGAGAAGCAGUCGUGCAAUUUGAGUAAUGGUAACCAUGAACAUGGAAAUGCUCACUUUCUUUAAAAAGGAAAAAAAAAAUAUAGCCCAAGAAACGUAGCAAAAGCGCAGAAUAAGAAAUGAAGAACCUUUAGUUGGUAAUAUUGGUACCAAUACACCCAAAAUUCAUUCUUAUGUGACUAUUAAAAUUAAAAAAAAAAAAAAAUUAACAUCCUUGCCAUCAUUCUUGGCGCUCUACCAGAAACAAUGUCUGACGAACAAACAGAAUUCUAACAUUUGCUUUUAUUAAUUACAAGAAAAGGUGACACCUAAUUGGGGGACGUAAUAAGCGUUUACGCCUAAGAACAAGCCAAUAGCAGGCAGAAACCUAUCUUCAAAUCUUGACAUUUGCCUUCAUAAGCGGCUUAGUAUCCUUAACCUGAUAGCGUAGACAACCAAAACAACUUAAAUAAAGAGUAAUCUUAAGAGUUUCAGAAACUGCGAAAAAGAUAAUAGAGAUAAUUAACAAAAACCUGAUGUCAAGGAUUACAGAUUGCUUUCUGAUGUGAUGUGAGUAAAAGUCUUCACGACAGCAGCUGCUUGCUCCAAACAUAAACUUAUCCCCAGCAAUUUAGACAAAAAAAAAUGAGACUCAAAUUUUCCCAAUAGCAGCCAGCAUUGUAAAUAGCAUCUGAAUGCAUAAAUUUUUUAAAAAGGAGCCAACUUAUUCAAACAUAUGCGAAUUGACAUAUAGCCACUAGAAUAUCAUGCCUUUUCAAAUAUGCUGCUUCUUCUAAUCCCCUGCAUUCUUGGCAACUAAUUGGGGGUAGCUCAAGCCUUAAAGCACUUUUAACAUCAUCUGUUUCAACGUAACAAUUAAACAUAGCAACUAUUCACUGAAAAUCGAUUCGGGUAUCAAGUUGAAAUGAAAGAAAGAUGGGGAUUUGGUCAUUAUGCAUUCAUGAUUUAUCACCUUUUGCUCCUCAUUGUCUUCAAUAAAUAUGAAUACUAUUGACAUUGCUCUGUUCCUAGACAUGCAACAAAGAAAUUAAUGGAAACAGAUGGAUCAUGGAAGGGAAGCCACCCCUUUUAAGUUCGCCACUCACAUUCUUCCUAAGUGGCGUGGGAUGUUGUGUGCUCUGUAUAUUCCUUUCACCAUGCUCCUGCUCUGUUAGCACAAAAGAAAUUGGGCGCUCAGUUCAGUAAGUGUACCUUGAAAAGUUAGCACUCGACUCAAAAGCCUAAUUAAUGUAAAAUGAAAUCAGCUAGCCAAUUACUUUAUAGAAGAAACAAGUAAACAAAGAUCACCCAAACAUCGCACCUACUCGCUGUACAUUCUCAUCCUUGCUUUAAUUUGCUGCAUCAAAAGACACAUUUAGCUAAAGAGAUUGGUUAAGAAAUUGUUCAAAUCAAAUUAUCACAGCCACCGCGGCUUCAUUCAUUUUAUUACACUCAUAAAAGAACAUAUUAAAGUUCAAAUUACCUGAGGCAAGUCAUAUUCUCUUGAGUAGACGUUGGCUCUCUGAGAAAUCAAGUCUUCUUGUUUCCCAUUUCUGAAACGUACUCCCGGAAUAGCACAUCCCAAUAUGUACAGUUCCUUCAAUGUCGUCAUUUGAUGAAAGUGGUCGGGCAAUGCCUUUAAUUUGGGGCAGCUUAUAAUUGCCAAGUAUGAAAGACAUGGCAUGAUGGAGGUGCUUCCCAUUCCUGUGAUUCCAUAAUCCCACUCUUCAAAUUCCUCCAUCCAGUAAAACGUCAGUGAUUUCAAUUUGGGGAAGGCAAUAACUGAUGAAGACGAAGACGUGUCAUUAUCACUUUCGAUUCCCAAAAAUUCAUUUGCCACUCUUUUCACACUCUUCAAUCCCCAUAUCAUGAGCUUUUCAAGGGAUGACAACUUUCCCAAAGGAGGAAUCUGCUUACACUUUUCACACUUCUCAAGUGUUAAACUCCUUAGAUUGGUUAAUGGCAUCAUCCAGCCGGGGAAAACAGUGUUGCCUCUGUAUAACCCUAUCAAUAAUUCCUUCAAAUUCAGAGGUGGUUGCAAGGCUUCAAGAAGUUGCUGAUCGUCCUCCUCCUUCCUCCUUCCUCCAUCUUCUUCUUCCUUGUCAAACCAAAGUCUCAAACAGGAGAGGUAUUUCAUUUUGUCAAGCUCUAAUCUCUUAGCCUCGCCCACAUCUGUCACAUUUCCCAGUCUACGUAUGCCACAUACAUGGAGGAGUUCCAAGUUUUUAAGAGAUUCAAGCCUACAUGCAUUGCUACCACCAACACCUCCUCCUCCACUCACAUGGAACUCAACCAAGGUCCUAAGACUCGUUAAUCUCCCAAUCCCUACUGGCAUGUGACCUAAGGAAUCAGUUUUGUCAUCCAGUAAAUGCUUCAUAUUCACUAGCUUCCCAAUCCCCUGAGGUAAUUCUUUAAGACCAUAGCAAUCACUAACAUCUAACUUUUGAAGAUUAUAUAACUCACACAACGUCUCAGGAAGUUUCUCUAUUGACUGAUGAGACAAAUUAAGAUACCUUAAAUGCACCAACCUUUUGACAUUUGUAGGAAUCUCUAGAAUCGUAGACUUUGUGUAGAAUAAUUUACUUACUUCUAUUGCCCUUAAGCUCGUCAAUUCCUCGAAUAAUUCUUCUAGGAUGUUACCAUCUAACGACGAAUGGUCAAAAACAACGCCACCAAUUAAGAGGCUACGCAUUCUUUUAAUCCUACAAGUGGAGAUAGGAAAUGGAGCCCCUUCAUGAAUACUUAACAUCAAAUGACAAACCUUCUCACCAAGAGAGUUUAUGGCAGCUGAUUCUUCACUACCACUAACUACUGUCGAUAAACAUUCAUUUUGACUUACAAAUUGGGCAAAAUCGUGUACUAUAUCAUGCAUUUUGCAUUCUAUAAUACGAUUAUCAUCAUCUUUUUUAAACUCUUGAAAGAAAGAGCGAGUGGCUAAGAUGUUAAAAUACUCUUCACCAAUUAUGUUUGUCUCUUCGUCUUGUUCCACACCAAGAUAACCUUGAGCCAUCCAUAACGUAAUUAGUCUCUCUUUCUCUAUAUUGAAGUCUUUUGGAAAGACUGCACAAUAUGAAAAACAUCUUUUUACUCUGGAUGGCAAAUCGUUAUAACUCAACCAUAAAGGGGUUAGAACACCUUUCUCAAUCUCUUCUAUUUUCCACAGCUCACUACUUAAGAUUCUUUGCCACUCUUCUUCAGUUUUUUUAGAGCGCAUGAGACUCCCUAUUGCCUUUGUGGUAAGAGGUAAACCUCUGCACUUGCCUGCAAUCUUUCGCCCAAUUUUUUCUAAUUUUACACAUUCCUCAAUGGGCCGACCAAAAAAUGCUAUCCUAUUAAACAACAGCCAACAUUCCUCUUCAGCUAAUUCCUGAACCGGGAUAAUAUCUGUGGAUCCCAUCAUGAAUGCAACUGACUCCUUACGUGUGGUAACUAAAAUUUUACUUUCAGGGAGACCAUUCUUUAGGCAAUGGUAGAAUGGCUCCCAUUUCAUAUAAUCUCCAUCCCACACAUCAUCUAAGACAAGAAAAAAUCUUUUUCCUGUAAUAGAUUUAGAUAUAGUUUUAAGAAGAGAUUGAAAUUCGCCUAGACCAGAAGAAGAAACAUCUAAAGCUUCAACUAUGGCUCUGGCAAUCCUAAACUCCUCGAAAGCUUCUGAUACACACACCCAUAAAAUUUUGUCAAACUUUCUAUUCACCUCAUCAUUAUUACAAGCUAGUUGUGCAAGAGCGGUUUUCCCUAUGCCUCCCAUACCAACGAUUGAGAUGAUAUGGAGGCCUUUUUGGUGCUCACUACUCUCACACAACAACUUGCUUAUGAGUUCAUUCUUCUCACUAACUCUACCACAUAUCUCCUCCUCAUCAAUGAACGAGGCACUUUGUACUCGCCUUGGUAUCUCACUACUUUUACUCCCACUCUCAAGAAAUUUAAACCUAUCCUUUUGAAUGGCAAUAUCAUCUAGCUUUUCAUUGAUUUCUUUGAUCUUGACUGCAAUGUCAUGACGUAGAAAGACUUGUUUGAAACCAAAUUCCUCUUGUUUGAAACCAAAGCAAGAGGCAGGAAAGCAGAAACAUACCUUCUUUUUCUUAUGAAGAGCAACAAGAGCAUUGUCAUCAACCCCACCCUCAAUUUGCAAUUUGCGUCUUGCUGUGAUCCACUCAUCCAACACAUCUUCAAUGUCGUUGGACACGUACUUCAGCUGUUCCAGCCAAAGUCUGACAGCUUUGUCCUUCACUAGCCUUUCCUCUGCAUCAUCGAGCACAGCUUCAAUGGCUCGAAGGUUGCUGGUAAGCUUGUCUACUUCUUUUUUAACACCGGUCACAAGCUGCGCCUGUUGUUGCAUCUCUUCAGCAGCAAAGGAAAUCAGCAUCUCCAACAGAGGGGAAACGAUGGCAUCAACCAUGGUGAAUAAUUUUUUGAUUAACAAAAAAGAGCAGAGAAAAAUAUUAAUUGUAUAAACAAAUUAUGUUGUGAAAAUGAAUUAAUUCCAGCUUUUUGCAUUCUUAUAUUUACAGUAUCUGCUUUUCUUCUCGACCACGUCAGCAUCUUCCAUUUGCUUUCAAUGGGAGACUUCCACUUUUAUAAACUCAAGAUAAGUAUCGAUACCACUACUGGGAAAAAGUUUGGUUGAUUCCUGCCCUUUCGAUCAAGCUAACUAGUAUUCAUAUUUGGAAAUUUCUUUUCUUUUCUUUUUUUUUAUAUAAAAUUUCUUAUUUUCAAUUUCUUUUAAAUUUAUGGGUCCUAUUUUUUCUUUUAAAUACAUCCUAUAUAUUUUAAUCGAAUAAAAUAUGGUUCAUCCUAAAAUCUAUUAUUAGAACAUAUAAGAGAUUUGCGAUUUGAACUCAUCUUAGCGUUAAUUUAAAAAGUCAGGGCCAUCCACUCUUUGCAACAAAUUAUUGGUAUUAUUUAUACAAUAUUUUAGAUAUAUGUGAUGAUUUUAAUGGAUUAAGAUGAUCAUUCAAUGCAUUAAGGUGAUCAUUAGAAUUGUUAGGUUCUGAUCGAUCCUAAUGCUAUCCCUAGCAAUUCGCAGAUCACCACAGCGUCCAGAAUGAUCUUGAUCAAAGCAAGAAUCCAAAAAGAAUGAAGAAGCAGAAGAUCAAAACCAGAAACAAAUGAUUUUGAACUUGAUUAAGACCCCAAGUUCUUGAAGAAAAAUCAACACUCCCCCUUUAUUCCUUUAUUAGUUCACACCGAAUUGAUUCACAAAGCUGCAGUAUUUACCAGCUGCUUUUCCCUCUGUUUUUCCCGCUCACUCGAGCCAAACCCUGUUUUGGCUGUUCGUCCACGUCAGCUAGGUAAUUACGAAAGCCUCUCUCAAUUAAUUGAAGCUUUUUGAGACAUGCAUGUAACAAGAAUGAUUAAAUAUAAAUUAUUUAAUGGAGAGUUAUCAUAUGACUAAUUUGAUUCUAAUAUGACCAUUGUCCUAAUGAACUAAAACAGUAUCAUGAAGAAUCUUUACUCGGCAAUAACAUUAUAAAACCCCAUGGAGCUCCUUAGGCUGCUAAGACUUCGAAAAAUUCAACACCAACAUCUCAAUUAACAAGAAUCCAUUUAUUAGCCAAAGCCUCUCAUCUCAAUUUCGUUACAUUUAUUUGUGCAUUGCAAUGUAAAAAAAAAAAAAUUCGGAUUAAUUUAGUGGUGUGGUAACUUUUGACGUAAUUAUCCUUUAUAUGAAAUUAUUAUAUUAAUUGUAAUAAAAAUGGGCUUGGACUAUGCAAGUUACAAGUGUGAACUUGCAUUAAUCGCACACUACAAUUGUACAGAAAAUCAUAAACCGCGGCAACCCUUUUUGCACUAUCUUCAUAAAUUCAUUUUGGAUUUUUCCUUCCUUUUGUUAAUAUAACCAGAUUCGCUUCAAUGUCUCAGUUAUGUUAUUAAAAGGUUUUUUUUUGGAAUUUUCAUUCCAAAAAACUCUUUAAAUACUUUCUUAUAUAUGAUAACUCUCUGUAUUUUCGUUUGUGGUUUGAUUACAGUCCAAAAUUUAGAAAAAGUAAAAAAUGGAGAACAUAAAGGCUGUAUCAAUGGUGAUGUUUAUAGUCAUAAUAUUAUGUUUUUCAUCAAACAGACCUGGAGUAGAGGGGGUUAGAGGAGAAGAAAAUGAUCUGAUUGAGGCUAUUUGCAAAAAGACCUCGUACCCAGAUGUAUGUAUCAAGACUUUAAGGUCAAGUCCUGGUAGCUCCGGUGCGGAUGUCAAAGGUCUAGCUCACAUCAUACUUGAAUCGGCAUCAACAUACUCUAAUGAUACGUAUGAACAAAUCAAGAAGUUGCUUAAGGAAACCAAAGAUAAGGCUAUGAGAAACUGUCUCGAUGUUUGCUUUCAAGUUUACGAUCUAACUAUCCAUGACAUCCCCAAGGCUAUAAAAUAUCUGGAGAGUGGUCAUUAUGACUCUGCCACAGAGUAUGCAAAUGAUGGAAUAAUUGACAGUGAUACUUGUGAAAGUUCUUUCUCGGAAUUUCCAGAAAUUCCGAAGUCGCCACUUACUGAUAGAAAUAAUGGUUUGACUGAGCUUUGUACAAUUGCUUUGGAUAUUAUAGCUGUUCAACUUCGGAGUAAAUAAUAAUCCUAGGUCUAAUCCAAAAUAAAUUAAAUAAAUCAAUAAUUCUAUUCAUUGCUAUUCUAUCAUGUCGAGUAUGUAAAUUAUUAGCGAUUUUUAAGUAGUUUUAUUUGAUCGGUCACUCGAGUAUAAAUUUAUGGUAGGUAAAGAGGGUUAAAAUAAUUGAUUUAGAUUUUGCGCAACAGGAAUUCUAAUAUGCAAAACGGUGAAACAAAAUUGAAAUUUAUGUUUUUCCUCUUAUAUGAAGGAUUAAAAAAUUGCAUUAAAAUAAAUGGGUUGUAUUCAUAUUUGCUUGAAUUUGACAUGAUAUGAUUGCACGAAUUGACACCCUUAUGGUUGGAUUCACAUAAUUUCUAACAUUGUAAUUAUUUGUAGCAAUUAGAUUGGGUUGGGUUAUAUGGAUUCAUCUUAAUCGAUCUAACUCAACCUAAUUGUUAAGUUGGUUCAAGAAAAUUGAUCAAUUAAUCCAUAGCAAUCCACUCAACCUAUCUAAAAUGGAACGGGUUGGAUCAUAUCCAUUGGGUUGGAUUGAGUUUGUCCACCCAUAAUUUUUUAGUUGGACUAUUGGGACCCUUAUAAUGUCCUCAUGAAACUCCUUUUUUUGUUAUAUUUAUUUUAUUUUCAAAAAUGUCUUUUUUAUUUUUCAAAUACACUUCUAAUUUUUCAUUUAUUUUUUUAUUGUUAAACUCAAAGUAGUAUUAUGCUAUUUUUCAUUUCAUUUCUAAUCUUAUUAUUACCUAACACACAAAUUAAAAAAAAAAUUUAGGUGAUGAAUUUUUUAAUGUGAAUCAUUGGCUUAAAUUACACAUAUUUUAAAAUUUGAAAGCAAUCUUAAAGUACAAAAUAUUUAAUCAAUAAGAGUUAUGAAAAGAAUAAUAGAUUAUUCUAAAUUAAUACAAUUUAUUGUAUAUAUGAAUAUAUAUAUUUUUUUAUUGUUUCAAAUACCCUCAACUUAUUAUUCUCCAAAAAAAUUAUAUGUGUAUUUAUUUUUCAUUUAAUUUUUUAAUUAAUUAUGAUUAAAAGAUGAUCAAUUAAUUAAAUAAUUAAAUGUAUUUAUAUUCCCAAUAUCAAACAACCACUAAGGUGAAAUGGUUAGAUCAGCAAAAAAGUUGACACUCGGCAAUGUUUGGAUAUAUUUUAAAAUAUUGAAAAAGUUUCGGAUGAGUUUAAUUAAACAAUAGGGGGUUUCGUGUGAGUCACCAUAAUUUUAAGGGGAAAUCAAUUUUAGGCAUUUUGAGUCUUGACCAAUUCUUUUUAGUACUUUAAAUGGACCAUCGGAAAUUUGGAAAAUUUACCUUGUCGAAAUCUUUUUCUUUUAUGGGACAGUACUAAACUUUUCUUAAGCCUCCUCGAUUAUGUAAUCUAAAAUACAAGUGACAAACGUUCAUUGUGUAUAUAUUUAUGCAUAACUAUUUGUCAAUUGGAGCGUGUUAUUGGUUUGGUCUUUUGCUGUGAAAGUAAGAAGUUAAAAUGAUGGAUUUAUCUGCACAUUGCUCUGACACCAAUUGUUGGGGAAAAAUCAAUUUUUUUUUAAAAAAAACUUUUAGAAUCGAUCUCAUACAAUAUAUAAGAAUUCGUAAUCUAUAAAUCGUACCUUGAAAAUCUGAGAAGAUGAACAAUCUUUGUUUUUUCCGCUGAAGUGAUUUAGGCUCCCAGAUCACGAUCUGUCACCACCACUCCUAUUAGAUCACGAUCCGGCACCACCACGCCUAUUAGAUCACGUUCCGUCACCACUGAUCUUCCAGAUUAUGACUCAUGUUUGAUCUACACUUAACGCGUGGGCGCCUUUAUCACCACUAUAAACAACUAGCAAGAGAAAAUUUUUCUCUCAAAAUUAGAGAGAAAAAAUCUUUUUUUCUGAUCUGUAUAAAGUGGAUGCUCUCUUUAUUUUGGGAGAAAAUAAGCCUUUUUUUUAUAUCUCUAUUUAGUGGAAACCCUAGGCUCCAUAUUUAUUUAUUUAUUUAUUUAUUUAUUCUAUUAAAUCCCAUUUGAUUUAAAUAAAAAGUAAUUAAAACAAAAGUCACGUUACUUGUUCUUGUGUUAUAGGAGUCCACCUUGUAAAAUAACACAAGGCCUCUUACACUCAAGCAUAUUAAUAGAGCCUCCCACUAAAUAAUAUAUUUAGGCUUUUAACCUAAAUAGCUAUUUAUCUUACUUAUUAAUCCAGUAGCAGCGCAGUCAAUUAAAUGAGCUAACCCGGGGAUCAUAUGGGUACAUACAAUAGUGGCUACAAUAAUUAGGCCUGUAAUUAAACUAGUCCAAUUAUUUAAUUCCAAAUCUACUCCACUAAAAGAUUGGAAUUGACCUCCAUAAUUGUAUGAUAGUAUACUCGAAUAAUAAUUCGACCCAUGGCACAUUGAUUUCUUUACUGCAUAAUCAUUUGUACCACAUCGUUAAUUAAAUCGAUAUCUCAACUGUCCAAUCGAUUUAAUUACAUCUUGUUCCUUGAUACUUACUGGUUUUCUCUAAUGAUCAUUUUCAACAUACUAAAUAUUUUGACACACUCUGGCUAGAUAAUUCUAUGAUCAAUUGCCGAAAACCCAUCAAGAGAUGUGUUGUACAAAUUCUAUAUUGUUAAUCUAUAACUUCAAUACUCAUAAUUGCUCCCACCAUGAUACCGUAUAAUCUUGACGACAAGUGUGUGUCGUGCCCAUUGGUAACUCAAAUAGAAUAACAAUUACAAUCAUGAAAUCAUAACUAACUCAAGAUUAAGAUUAUAGUAAAAUCAAUGUCUAUGAGAUUUAAUAAGUCUGACAGUCAUUUCAAGGUUAAUUAAAUCUCAUAUGUGAUCUAGCUCAAUGUAGUCAAACUACAUCAGUAAAUUCAUAUAUGAUUCAGACAAGUCAUUCAAUGAAUUUACUACAGUCUAAACCUAAAUAGAGCGCCCAACUCUAUUUAUCAACUGCGAACUAAAUUUAUUUAAUCAUAAAAUAACUUGUAUUUAUUUAUUCUGUGAAUUCAUAUGACGAUCACAUAAAUACAUAUAAUAUGAUUAAACGGACCUUAUUCAAUAUAUAUUUAUGCAAUUAAAAAUAUCUCAAAUAUUUUAUUAAUAAAAAAAUAAAUUAAUAUGCUUUAAAAGAGCAUAUAAUCCCAACAAACUCCACCCAACUAAAAUCUUUAGAAUUAAUUUUCUCUCGUUCCUUGUCCCAUCCCAAAAACUCAUCAAAAUUUAACACACUCCAGCUCUAUAGAAGAUGUUGCAUCCCCACUUACGGACUCGUCAAAACUUUCUGACGAUUGAUUUGGUAGCGUAAAGUUAUUAUAUUAAUAGUGGCACAAAAAUGGGCUGGGUCUUGGGCUAUGCAAGUACAAGUGGUUAAUUUUGGCCGGGCUUAUUCGUUAGAGAAUGUGGAUUGCUUGCAUUAAUUGCAUACAACAAUUUUGACAUAACAUCAUAAAACGUUACUAGCUUUUUUUUGCACUAUCUUGAUGAAUUCCCUUUGGAUUUUUCCUUUCUUUUGCUAACAUAACCAUAUUCAUUUAUGUCUCAAUUAAGUAUGUUAUUAAAAGGUUUUCCAUUGUUUGAAAUUUUCUUUCUAACAAAUUCUUUAAAUACUUUCUCAUCUAUGUUAACUGUCUGUAUUUCUAUUUGUGAUUUGAUUGCGGUCCAAAAUUUAUAAAAAAAAAAAAAAUGGAGAACAUAAACAUUGCAUCAGUGAUGAUGUUUUUGCUUAUGACGUUAUGUUUUUUAUCAAACAAACCUGGAAUAGUAGGGGUUAGAGGAGAAGAAAAUGAUCUGAUUGAGGCUACUUGCAGAAAGACUUCGUAUCCAGAUCUAUGUAUCAAGACUUUAAGGUCAAGUCCAGGAAGCUCCGGUGCAGAUGUCAAAGCUCUAGCUCACAUCAUUCUUGAAUCGGCAUCAGCAUACUGUAAUGAUACGUACGAACAAGUCAAGAAGUUGCUUAAUGAAACCAAAGAUAAGGCUAUGAGAAACUGCCUGGAUGUUUGCUUUCAAGUUUAUGAUCUAGCUAUCUAUGAAAUCCCCACGGCUAUAAAAUAUCUGGAGAGUGGUGAUUAUGACUCUGCUGUCCAAUAUGCAAAUGAUGGAAUAAUUGAAAGUGACACCUGCGAAAGUUCUUUUUCGGAAUUUCCAGAAAUUCCAAAGUCGCCACUUACUGAUAGAAAUAACGGUUUGACUAACCUUUGUACAAUUGUUUUGGAUAUGAUCAACUUGUUAAAAUGAUAACCUGGUCUAAUCCAAAAUAAAUAAAUAAAUCAAGAAUUAUACAACUAUUCUAUCAUGUCGAGUGUGUACAUAAUGAGCGAUUUUUAUGUUGAUAGGUCACUUGAGUUCAAAUUUUAAGAGGUAAGGUGUUUAAAAGAAAUUGAUUUGGGUUUUGCCAAUACGAAUUCUAUAUGCUAAAAGAUUAAAAAAAAUUAAAAAAUAAGAAAAACAUACACUAUAAUGCCCUGUAUUUGUUCUGAAGUAUAUUGAAAUGUGUGUUCUUCUUAUCUUUUAUCCAUUGUUGGAGCAUUACUCUAUCUGCGCACACAGAAAUUUCUUGCACUUUAUUAAAGUAUAUGAAAGCUUUUAAAUCAUGUGGUUUAAUAGCGUAUAAGCAUAACACUAUUAAACCAUAUAAUUUAAUAACUUUCUGUUCUUUAAUAAAGUACGAGAACCCUCGCUAGAUAAUUUUUUUUGUGUGUGUGUAUAUAUAUAUAUGAUUUAAUAGUGUUACAAUGUUAUAAACAAUUUUUGCAACGUUGUAAAGGAGUUUACAAAAGUUAACUUUUUCUAAUGAUGAAGAGUUAGUAAUAGUACUCUUUUUUCUCUGUUUAGAAAGAAUAGCAGGCUGCGUUCCAUAUUCAGAUUUAAAGCCAAGAAAAAACUAAACUUUAAUAUGGGUACAAGUGUUUUUUUAUUUUUUAUUUUUCAUCUUUCAAUAUUGACAGGGUCAUCUUUAUCUUAGAAGAAGGAUGAAAUGCGCGUCGUCACAGACGUUAUUGUAUGUAACGGGCCUGAUGCAAGGAAAGUCUUGGCAAUAGAUAAGCGGCUUGCCCCAAGCAGGGCAGCCAUCAAAUCCUCAAGUUUCCCAGCAGCAGCUAAAUGCAACUGUUGAUGCGAGAUUCUGGUGUCUGCUCGUUCUCUACCAGGAUCCCUCCUCAACUCUCAAAUUCACGACCAACAACAGGUUAUCCUUGUAGCCCUUCUAACCGAGCAGAACAAUGCCUUGUAUGACUUCUACCUCAGCAGACUCCUGAGCACACAGAAACUGGUCAGAGCACGCCGGAAUUUUUCCCGACGUAAACCCUCCAACGCUCAAGUCAGAAAUGUCGGUUCAAUUUUGUGGAAAACCCGGCCACUAAUCUCAUGGUUGUUCUUUAAUCUUUUAGACAAUAGAAAAUGCCUAUGAGUUUUUCUCCCUUUUCUCAAUGAAGAUGCUCUUUCUUAAGUUUUAAUGUGAAAAUGUCUAACCAUUUUACAUUCGUUGAUUACCUUUUUAUAGCCUUCAUGUGAACUCGAUCCCCCACGAUCCAUGCUCAUCACUUUCCCCAGCUCACGGAAGUGGAUGCUUGAAUGUCGUAGUUGUGGCUGAGUGGGUUUCGUGCCUAGAUUCUCGGAUAGGAGUGCGCGUUUCGUUAACCGCUAUAGACUGGGCCUGCCGACCUCGAUCUUCAGCAGGGAAAGCUGUCGGCCCCUAGCAGGAGACCAUCUCGUCCUUAUAGUCGAGCAGACUUCAUCCAUCUGCUCUCUUGUAAGAAGGCUAACUCCUCGUCCAGGGUACGGAUGGUCUCGUCGUUAUAAAUCCCUAAAACACCGGUCCUCCAAUUUCUGGUAUUUGCAAUGCAAUGGAUUAAUACUAGAAACUUGAUUAGUUUGGCCUUUCUCGAGGAACAUUUGACUUGGCUGUAAGAAAUAAGGAUAUUGCUCACUCCCGCUUAGUCGUUUCCCCUUUUGCCACUAGCAAGCUGCUUCCUCGAAGAGUCACUUCGCAAUUAAAUGCGGAAGCGGUGGCAUGAAUUCGUCCACCCGUUUGAAUUUCAAAUUUAUGGUUGUGGAACUCUCGGAGCGCGUACCGUUUGGGUGGCAAUAAAUCGAAAGCAUCACCGUCACUUCAAAACCCAAAUUCUCUAAAGUGUUCUUUUCCUCAUUCGUCUAUUUCGCAUCCUCCAGCGGCUGGUGAUCCUCUUCUCUCCAAAAUUGAAACUAUCGUUCUUAUUUCCGCUUUGGUGUUUCACUGCUUCAGGUACUGUUUUCUCCUUCUCAACUUUGGAUUUUUGUUGUUAUUUUGAGUGAAAUUUGGUUGUGUCUUUUCGGAUAGAGUUUAGGGAAUGUCAAAAGGCAAAGAGAAAGUGAUUGAGGUUGACGAUGAUGAGUUAGACUUCCUACCUAGUCUACUCCCUGAUCCCACUUUUGACCCCGGGAUUCCUCUAGAACCGAUAAGACCUAGUAUAGAGACUAGUGCUAGGAGAAAUUCUCCUGAAGCCACCACAUUAAAUAGCGAUGAUGAUGGGUCUUCUGGUUCGGAGGAUACUCUAAGUGAGGACCCGGGUGGAAAUUCUGGUGAAGUGUCCUCACCAGAAGUAUCGCAACCCAAAAAGAAAAUAAAGAUAGGGGGUAGAGCUCUAUCAGAGCAUUACGCUAUCGACCACAUGACCUGCAUGACCACAGUAGAAGACCUCGUCGAACUCCAAGCUGAGUAUGACAUUCCUGAUGAUAUACCCCUUAGAAUUUCAGGGAAAAAAAGACACUCCCAGUCGACCGCUUAGAGGGUAUGUUACUCUAUUUCUAGAGAGCUUUAAGUUCGGGAUGAGGCUGCCUUUACAACCGUAUUUCGUCCAAAUGCUUAGGGGGUUACAUUUAGCUCCUGGUCAACUUAACCCUAACGGGUGGAGGGUACUUUCUGGUCUGUUCAUUUUGUGGAGCAGAUGCUGUCAGAAAGAACCCAUGGUUGAAGAGGUCAAACAUCUAUAUCAGUUAAAGAGCAACCCCAAAAACGCCGGCUGGUAUUAUUUCAUAUCAAACACCAAGACUAGGAAACUCAUAACCGAUCUUCCAACAGGUGGUGGUGGGAAUUGGAAGAGAAAAUUAUUUUUUGCUGGGGGUCUCUAGGGUCAAGUGGCUUAGAUUGAUGGGGAGAACAUUCAUGUCCCUCCCGUUUCGUAGUUCCAGGUUGCCUGCUCGUUUUAGAUGUCUUGUACCCUUAGUUGUUCUAGUGAUUGAUCAUUUUCUAACACGGUCUUUGUUCGAACUGCAGGUUCCUAGGGCGUCCACUACAACCUCGAACCUGACGAGCUCAAGCGGAUCGAGACUGUAUUGGCAAAUUCCUGUUCGUACAGGGAAUUGCUGACUACCUAUAACUUCUUCGAGUCCCGCCUAGUACCCACCAAUCUCGAGAUGAAGGACAUUGUGAUUGGGGCUUUGACCAGAAAACGUCGUCGUCUUGGUGCUGCUAAGCGAGAUCACAACAAAGAGGCUCCCCCUGGGAAACGGGUCAACACUGCGGAGCAGGCCUCCCCUUUGAAGACUUUACCUCAUCCUCCUCCUGCCAGAGCCAGAGAAACUAGUGGAAGUGGUGAUGAUCCCACUUCCCCACGUCCACCAGCAGGGUUAAGACCUCUUUUGCCCGGCAAUCGACCAGAGCAUCUGGUCCUUACAUCAGCGAGUUUUCUAGGCUCGUGAGCAAGAAGGACUUGGAGGAUUUUGACGGCAGCACUUUAGGCGAGCUGGUUGGGGCCAUGCAGUUCAGUGCUUUUCACAUUGGCUGUAUGGCCACGUACUACAAGGCGAAGGUCGGUCGUUACGACCGAAAAAUGAAAGAAGACCUUCAGUCAGCAAAAAACAAAGCUGACGCUGUCGAGAAGAAAGCUGCAGAUCUCAACCUCGAGAAUUUGAAAUUGAUAGAGCGGGAGUCUCUCGCGCAGGCAAAAGUUAUCACCCUUGAGGAGGAGCUAAAUAGGGUUAUGGAUGAUUUGCAGACGCAACAAGCUACCUACGAAGCUCGACUCGAAUCCCUUACAGCUUCCCACCAGACGCAGGUCGAAAACUUAAAGAAGGAAGUUGACAACCAGGGGCUUCGGCAUUCUUAUCGGUGCAUCAUGGCCGUUCUUAGGAAGCAGCAUCUCGGUCUGAAGAUGGAUGAGCUUGCUGCUGGUGUAGCUGAAUAUAUGGACGAGGAGGCAACUAAAGAAGGUGGUGAAGAGGCGGAACCACAUGCCACCGAGGAGGCAACCUCCCCUCCUCGUGCAGCUCCUACUGAUGUUGUCGAGGCAAGUACCCCCCCUCCGGGCGCAACUGGUGAGACCCCCUGCUCCUGAAGUGGACCAAUCGGUGGAGACGGCUCUGCUUACUGAUUCCCCGUCCUCUUGAUUGCAUUUUACGUUAUGUACUUCUUUUUGGGACGUUUUAUGUCGAGAAUAUUAGCUCUUUACUAUUUUUGGCAAAUUAAUAAAACUCCUGAGUUUGUUUGCUUUGCUUUUCACUUUAUUCUUUACUGUCGAGCAGAUCCUGACAUUCUAAGCUUCCAGUCUCGUCAUAGAGCAGGCUCUAAGACUUAUGAGGCCUUUGCAUGGUUUUUAAACUUUUUCUAACUUUUGGUGGUCUGCUCUCCUUCUUAUGGCUGAGCAGAUUCUAGCAUACCUGGCUUCCUGUCUCACCAUAGAGCAGGCUCUGAGACUUGUGGAGCCUUUACGUGCCUUAGAAGAUUUUUGGAACUUUUGUGGUCUGCUUGCCUUCGCUUGGUCGAGCAGAUCCUGGCAUGCUUGGCUUCCUGUCUCGCCAUAAAACAGGCUUUAAGACUUUGGAGCCUUUGUGUGCCUUAGAAGAUUUUUGGAACUUUUGUGGUCUGCUAGCCUUCGCUUGGUCGAGUAGAUCCUGGCAUGCUUGGCUUCCUGUCUUGUCGUAAAACAGGCUUUGAGACUUUGGAGCCUUUGCGUGCCUUAGAAGAUUUUUGGGACUUUUGUGGUCUACUCGCCUUCGCUUGGUAGAGUAGAUCCUGGAAUGUUUGGUUUCCUGUCUCGUCAUAAAACAAGCUUUGAGACUUUGGAGCCUUUGCGUGCCUUAGAAGAUUUUUGCUUGUGUAAUAUGACAACUGAAUGAAAUUCCUCCAUCUUUCAUUAAUUAUUGAAUUCGGCUUACAUGCAAUUGACUAAGUAUAAAACAAAUAAUAAGUACGAAGAGAAAUAAUUCUAAAGCAUAAUUGGGUCUUACUGGAAAUAUUUCGUGAGAUGUGCUGCGUUUCAACCUUACUAUUUCCAGCUCCUCAACAGACUCCUCUCUGCCAUCCUUGACUCCCACUUGAGUAUCAAGUGAUGUGAUCUGCAUUGCUUCCCUCGCUGCUGUGGAGUAACAGCUUCGGGCAAUUCUCUGGUCUCCUCGUACCACCCCAACUACUCCAUUUACCCGAUACUUGAGAGCCAAGUAAUGGUUGGAGAGUACUGCUAUGCUCAUCCUCAGAAAGGGGCGGCCUAUAAUCAUUUGGUAAGGACCCUCUUCAUCGACAACCACAAAAUCCAGGAUCAUAGUCUUUUCUGUCGGGGAGCUGCCAAUUGUGAUGGGCAGCUCGACCACGCCUAAAUGGACCAGCUUUCCUCCACCAAAUCCCUUCAAUGAGGUAUUGGUGUGCUCUAACCUCAGGUCUGCUAUUCCCAUCUCCUCCAGAGUUGUCUUGAAUAGGACAUUGACCGAGCUUCUCGUAUCUACCAAAAUCUUGUCAAAAUUCUAGAAGAACGUUAAGAAUCAACAACCAACUUAAUUUCAAGUAACAACAUGAUGUGCGUAUCUACAAUAUGGCUAUUGUCAGAAUUGAUCUAAAUAAUUAGUUAUAUAUACUCCCAAAUUGUCGUAUACUGUGUGUCACAUAUAAGAAGCUAAGGGUUAGUAGCGAAAAAUUUAAGGGUAUAACCGAAAAUUUAGAAUUUUCAAUAGACUAUUAGGAGUUAUAAACGGGAACUGUACUAGAGCUAUUCUUGCUAUUAUUGUAUAUACAAAAAAAAAAAAAAAAAUACAUUUGACUCAAUAAGUACAUAUGAAAGCUCUUACGUAUGAACAUCCAAUAUUUUAUAGUAUCGUUUAUUUUUAAAUUCACAUUUUAAAAUAUACAGAUAUUCAGCCGAAAAAAAAAAGAAAACGGUGUGUUUUAUGAGAUGGGAAAGAAACUAACAAAGUUUGCGUGCACAAGAUGAAAAUGACCUAUACUAUUAUACUAAUGAGGUCUUAAAGGAAAUUUUAUCCAUGUUUACAGAACGCGGGCCUUGGAAUUUGAUUUUACUGUAACAAAGGACCCUCUAGCGGCCUACAUAUGGGUUCUUAUAAUCUUAUAUUUAGUAGAAAUAUUAUAAUAUACUAAAACUUCUUUAUAGUAAUAUCGUAUAUAUAGGAGUAACAUUCUUACAGAUACAAAAAAUUUUGGGCCCAAUUUGGGCUACUUAUAAAUAACAAUAGGGUGGGGUUUUUGAGCCCAGUAAACUACUGAUAAGACCCACAUUUAAAAAUAAUUUUUACUUAUUAAAAUACUCCUAGAUCAAAUUACAAUUAUAGACAUUAAACUAUUAUUAUAAAAUAUAAUUUUUUUACUAUUAAACCCAUCUAUAUAUCUAAUGCUGUAUUUUAUAUUCUUUAUUUUUUAUUAAUCUUAAAACAUAUAUAUAAGUAUACAUGUCAGCAAGCCACUAGUGAAUUGGCUCCCAUAAUCUGGUUUCAUUGUGUAGCUACAUCUCAUGAUUAAAUGCAGAUACUUAUAUUUUAAGAAACGAAUGCUUUAAUAUAUUCAGUUUUAGUAACAAAUAGAGUUACAAUUUGUUUUACCUUUUUUUUAUAAUUAAAUAAAAUGAAUUUUCUUCGUGACGAGAAAUAGUAAGUAUUUAAAUAAUUUUUAUCUUAUUUUUUACACAACUGGUUCUUUUAAGUUAUUUUCUAGUAAAAUUCGAGCAUUUCAUUUUUAAACUAUAAAAAAAUUUUAAUAAUUAAUCGAAUUAUUUCUUGAAUGAAUAAAAAAAUCAUAGACAACUACAAAAAUUUUAGUUUUCUUAUGGAUUGGUUUAUAUUAACAAAAUAUUUGAAUUCAUUAUUUUGAGCACAUAUAAAUUUAUAGUAAAAGCAUUAUUGUUAUACAAAUUGAGUUUAGUAAGGAUAUAUUAGGUAUUUAGGUGGGUUUGUUGAGUAAAAUUUAAAAUUUUGAAAUUUAAUAAUAGGUUUAUUUAGUAAUUGGGUUUAGUAAUUAGUUUUAUGGGUUCAAAUAGUCCCACCCAUAAAAAUAAGUUCCACACUAUGAUAAGUUAUAAUUUUUUGAAUCUUAUUUUAAGGAACUCGUCUUACAAGUAAUAAUUAUUUAUAUAUUAUAAAAAACAUAUGCUUUUUUUUUUAAAUUAUGUCUUUCUUUAUCAAUGCCUAUACAUUAGAUUUGAUAUCCUCCAUUAAUAAUUUUUCUUUCUUAUGGUGAAAUCUCCUUCAUAUGCUCUUGUUGAUUCUAAACAAAGCCGCCUUUUUGAUAUGGAUGGAAACUUCCCAAUUCCUAUUAAUAUAGUGAUACUUUUUCCCCCUAUAUCACUUGCACUAAGGAUAACCAAAGUAAAAUAUUAAUUUUUAUAAUUACAUCUUUAUUAAGUUAUAACCUCCUUACAGUAACAAAAUUUAUUUGGUGCGAACAUUAUUACUACAGAGAGUUCUUACUAUUGCAAUCAAAUGAAAAAAAAUAUAUAAUAAUUUUACGUGACUUGAAUUUUCACCUAUAUCCAUUAGUGAAGACGUGAAGUUAAUCUUUACUAUUAAAAAAAAUAUAUGGGAUACAAAUAUUGGAUGAUAAUAUAUCACAACCAAAUCCCAGUACACCCAAAAUUCUCUCACCCAAGCUCCCAAAAUUCAGUCGAUCAAAUGUAACUCUCACCAAAAUGAUAAUAAUAAUGAUAAUCAUCAUCAUCUUAUUGUCCUCGCCAUUAUACUUGGGGCCAUAGAGAAUUCUGACAUUUGCCAUAAUACGCAGCUUAGUACCCUUAGCCUGAUAAUGUAAAAAAACAAAACAGUUUAAUAAAAUUAAUUUAAUCUUGCGAUUUUCAGAACACUGAGAAAUAUGGUAUAAGUUGAUGAAUAAGGUUUUGUUAACCUGAUGUCAGGAACCACAGCCAGUGAUGCUCCAAAACCCAGCAUUGCAAUCAAAAUUAAGGCCGUCCCUUGAUAGAACCUACAUAAGAGAAAAGGAAAAAAGAAGCUAACGGAGAACAACCACUAAACUUAUUUAAACUUAUAUGAGUAGAUAGGAUGACAAAAUAAUUCGGACUCGCACGAAUCUGUAUAAUCUGCAUUGGGUUCAACCCGUACCGGAUUCAAAUAACAUCCAAAAUCUGACGGCGUUAUAAUAAAUCCGGACGUAUCUAGAUCCGGAUCCGAAAUUGAGUCAACCCGCAUAUCCAGAAUCCGGACCAUGAUAUCUUUACUCUUAGUAUUAUAUUUUAAAUUUUUUUUAAUAUAAAUAGAAAAGAAAAAAGUUAAAAGAAUAAAAAAAGAAAGAUGAAACACUAGUUUACGCUUUACAACUCUCUCUCAACGCAGCCACCAACCUUCUUCCUCUUCUCUUCAUCAAUUCAACACAGCCGCCAACUAUUGCCUUUUUCGUCAUCAUCGUCUCGCCGCUUUGCUGCCAUCGCGGCUGUGUUGAUCAUUGUAGUCAUCAGCUGCCAUUCAGUUUGUUGAUUGGUGUCAAACUGGAUUCAAGUGUGGUAUCAAUUACCAGCCUCCAACUGUUGUUUCAGGUGGUGAUUUCACGAGUGCGCAGAGGGCUGUGUGCGUGAUAUCGAACUCAACUAAUGUUGCUAGGGAUUUUUCUCGUAUUGACCACAAAUAUGGUUUGAUGUAAUGCUAAUAAGAGGGCAUAGAGAAAGGUGAGUUCUUUGAAGCCCGUGAGGAUCUUGCGGCUUUGGAGAUGGAUUAUGAGGAGGCUGGUGCUGAGUCUGGUAAGGGUGAAAAUGGUAAUAACGGAGAUGAUCUGUGUUUGUAAUUUUUUAGCUUGUGUUCUUUUGAUUGCUAAUUUGUUGUGGUGGUCGGAAUUUCUAGUUGCAUUGGUUCACGUUCUGCUGCCUUUACUUUUUUGGGUGAAAUUGCUAUGCGGCUGUAUGUUUUUUUUCCCAUUGUAUCCAUGGCCUGUUAGAGAACUGGGAAAAAAAUUCAUAAGGAUUACCCUGAGUUAAAUUAUCCGGGUUUACAUCCGGAUUUGGUAUGGCAAAUUGGCAUCCCGGACCCGGAUUUUGCCAUCCCUAAAUUGACACAUAUGGCCGCUAGAAUAUAUAUCAUGAUGCCUUUUCAAAUAUGCUGCUUCUUUUGAUCCCCUGCAUUCUUGGCAACUAAUUUCUUAGCUGGGGUAACUAAAUGCGCUUUUGACAUCCUCCGCUCCAAUCUAACAAUCAUUACUCAUUGACAAUCAAAUUGCAUGUGAAGUUACAAUGAGAGAACGAUGGAGAUUUGGUCAUUAUAUGCAUUUAUGAUUUAUCACUUUUUGCUUCUCAUUAUCUUCGAUAUCUAUGGAUGGCAUCAACAUUGCAUAAAAUCUAUUUUUCAAAGCAUAUAAUCUAUUUCAUUCUUAAUUUCCAUCCUGUGGACCCGUACUGUCAAAUUUUGCUUGUAGAAAUUUAAGACCUGCCUCUUGAAUUUUUGCACAAGUAGGACACUGAUGCAUGGAGUUCUGGUAAAAUGUGAACAAUUUUUUCAAAUCAAAUUGUUUGUGGUCAUUUAUGAAUUUCUUUGAAAACGUUUAAGAAAGUGUCAAUGUAUAUUCCCAGAAUUUACAAUCAUAAUAUUCAUCAGCUCAUUAACUAGUAUAACAAAUAUUUUUAUUACUUAUUGUUGUUGUUAAAUGACAAUUAGUUGUAGGAAGUGCUACAUUACUCUGUCUUGUCUACUCAUCUUUGACACUGAUAGCCCACAUUCCAAUACACCCUGCUUUCUCUUUCACCCAAGCUCUUAAAGUUCACUCNNNNNNNNNNNNNNNNNNNNNNNNNNNNNNNNNNNNNNNNNNNNNNNNNNNNNNNNNNNNNNNNNNNNNNNNNNNNNNNNNNNNNNNNNNNNNNNNNNNNUAAAAUAAAUAAAAAAAUAAAAAAUAGAAAAACAAUGUUCUAUUGUCCGGGCUGUCACUGGCUGAGGUGCGGCGCGGGGCGCCAUACCAGUUUCUAGCAAACAUAGACAACCAAAACAAUUUUGAUAAAGUUUAACUUGUGAGAAACAGUGAAAAUGUUGUUAAUGAAAACCUGAGUUAUUGUUCAGGUUUAGGUUGAUGUCAAGAAGCACAGCUUCUGAUGUGAGGAAAGUCCUGGCCUUAGAGGCUGCUUGCUCCAAGCUGCAGCUAUCAAAUCCUCAAAUAGUUCAAGUUGAAGCUAAAUGCAACUGCACAAAAAGAAAAAGAAGCUUACAUUGUUCAACCAUUACACUCAUUCAAACUUAUAUGAAUUGGCAUGUGGUCACAAGAAUUGCAUGCCUUUUAGAAUUCAGUGCUUCUUUUGACCGCAGCAAUCACGGCGCCAAAUCAGUUUCGGGCAAACAAACUGGGUUAUAACAGUUGCGUGCUCAGCAUCCUUAACCUAUUACAUAGACAACCAUAGACAAUCAGGACAACUUAAGCCUAAUCUAGAGAGUUUCAAAACAGUGCCAAAAUAAAAUAAAAUAAAAAUGAUAUAGCUCAUAACAAAAACCUGAGUUUUCCAUAGCUACAGGUCCAGGUUUCCCAGCUUCUGAUGCGAGGAAAGUCUUGAAAACGGCAUUGGCAACCGCAGUCACGGAUGUCAAAUGAUAGCACCUGAAUGUACAAAAGGAAAAAGGAGCUAACAGUGUUCAACCAAUAAACUUAGUGAAACUGAAACUUAUAUGAAUUGGCAAUAGAAUCCCAUGCCUUAUCAAAUUCAAUGCUAAUUUUGACCCCACUGGCAUUAGCUCAACGCCCUUUUUAACAGCCUUUUCACUAAUAAGCUUCUUGUGGUCAUAGUCCCGCUCUACUGCAUGAAUCAUAUGAUACAAUUACUACCAGAUUAAUUGGUCAGCUGGCUCAGAAAAUUUAUCACUUAUCUCGAAAGCCAAAUUAACGAACAUAUAUAAGUCAAUGAAGUAAUGUUUCAAACAUGCAAAUCUAACUCUUUUGAUGUCACCUAAGUUCAGCCACACUGCUUUAUUCACCAAUCUAGCAAAAUUAAUUCUCAUUCUUGAUCACAUGUUCUGCAAAUUGGAAAUUUUUUUUUAUAGUAUUAGAAGAUUAUAUAUUCUGGUGUAGAACUUGAUUCAAAUAUUUCAUGCUUCGAAAUUAGAUAACAAAUAACGAGAGAGAAGGGGAGAAAAUGACUUGAGGCUGAGAAUGAUUCAAAUACAGCCAUUUGAUAGUUUUGUCAAGGGCCUAUUUUCAAAUCCACUUAAUACAUGCUGAUGUGAGGAAUAAGAGCUGUCUUAGUACAUCUCCUUGCUCCAAGUCCAAUAUCAGAUCAAGUUGAAAUGAGAGAAUAAUGGAAACUUGGUGUUUAUACAUUAAUUUAUAAUUUAUCAGUUAUCACCUCAGUCUGCUCUACAAUUUUGCAUUCACUAAGGUUUCCUUGAGCUACGUUUCUUUUUGUGCUUGAACCUAAACAUACACAGCAAAGAUAUUAAUGAAAAUGAAAUUCCAUAAAUUACAGAAAUCAGCCAAAACACAUACUCUGUAGAAGCAAGCUAAUGAGAAUUACCUAAAUCACAGUGAGUCCUAUUAUGUGGCAAUCCUUCACGAGUAAGCUAUUCUUUUUCUUAGACCUGCUUAAUUCACCAAUCCAAGUCAACAUAAUUAAAUAGUUUUCCCUAUUGUUUAUUUAAUUAAUUUUCAACAUUACAAAAUAUGGCAAAAACAAGCACUGUAUAAUCAAAAUGUAUUGAUGGUUGAAUUAAAGUUGACAUAUUCAAUUGAAAAAAAAAAUGAUUAGCUAGUAUUGCAUCCUUAAUUAGAUUAGUAAAAAUAGCAGCGCAGGACUAGAGAUAACCUGAGGCUGAAGUGAUCAUACACAAUUGCAGCCGGUUAAGAAUUUUGUCAAGGGCAGCCUCCUUUCACAUCCUCUUACGAAACCUAAUAUGGAGUUGACUCAAAACGCUAUUUAUGCUUCUUAAUUAGAUUAAAAAAAGGCUGAUGCUACAAUACCUGCAUGUAUCAGAUACAUGCAGGUUUUAUGGCCGUUGGAUUCAUUGUAUUGAAUCCAACGGCCAUAAAUGAAUUUAAACAAUAAAUAAUUAAAAAAAUAUAAAAAACUUGAAACCUAUAGAAUCGGUCUCAACACACAUCAAACCCAGGCAUAUAUAUUUAUUGGGAAAAAAAACAAACAAAAGGCUCUCACCUCACGCGGGAAAUCAAUUUCUUCUUCCCUCCCUCCUCACUCACGGCUCACGACUCCCUCUCCCUCUCCCUCUUCACUCACCCUCACAGCUCCCUCUCCCUCUCCCUCAUCAUUCACUCUCUUGCCUGCAGUCCUUCACGAGACGCCUCAUCAGGGCCACCAACGACGGCGCUAUCCGGCGAGGACACGCAGAGGUUGAUCUCUANNNNNNNNNNNNNNNNNNNNNNNNNNNNNNNNNNNNNNNNNNNNNNNNNNNNNNNNNNNNNNNNNNNNNNNNNNNNNNNNNNNNNNNNNNNNNNNNNNNNNNNNNNNNNNNNNNNNNNNNNNNNNNNNNNAAAAAAAAGAAUAUAUAAGGCUUUUAAAUGUGGUAAGAAGAAUCAUUCGCCUCUCAUAUUUAAAAAUUACAGCUUUUAUCAUGUAAGUUUAUUAGUGCGUAUUGUUGGGUAAUGUAAUAAUUUACAUUGAUUUAGAAUUCGUGGAGAGAGUUUGAUGACAUUAUCAGUGUGUAUUGACAGGGGACAUAAUUUUUAGUGUACACAGUAUAAUGGGUAAGCGUAAGGCCAAUGUCGCAGAUGACAUUAAUAUUCAGUCUGAGAAGCGGGAUCCUCUGAGGCCGGGCAAGCAUUCGUACAUAUACUACUUGAAGAAACUAAUUCAUUGUUGAAUUUUAUUAUUGACAUUUUGUAGUCAUUUCAGUUUAACAGUGCAAUAAUUUUAAUUGACAUACAAGGAACUGAUAUUUGAUAUUAUUUUUCUAUCUACAGCAAGAUAGAAUCCCAAAAGUUAAAGGAGGAAGGUGUGAAGGUGGAUGAAACGGUUUGUAGACAACUUUUCUAUGUUGCAGCCUACUAAUUAAAUAGUUUGGUUGAUGAUUGGCCAAUGAAUAUAUAUAUAUUUUUUAGUGUAGGUUAAGGGGCGUAUACGUGACAAAUGGUUGAAAUUCAGCGCGAAAGAUAAAGCCGAAUUCAUCAACAGUUAUAAUGAAAAGGUUGAAAUGAACUCGAGAUUGGCCAGUGGAUUGUUAAGUGAACCGAUUCCAACAAUGGAGAACAAUUCUGAUAAGGGUAAUCACCUAUGUCGAUGUAGUGUUUUGCGGUUCUCCAACAUUGUUUCUUCGUUAUCUAUUGAACAACAAGAUGUUGUGAGAGAAAUUGGUUUCAGAAGCUUGUUAGGUUUAAAAUGUGGGCGACUUAGGCAAGAUUUAUGUAGAUUGUUAGUUAAGCAAUGUAACGAAGAUAAGCGGUCGAUAACAGUCCAUGGAAUGGAAUACAAGCUUCCUCUGGAAACUUUUACAAGCGUGAUGGGUGUUGGUGACAGAGGAACACCGAUUGUGCUUGGUGGUGAAGAUAGUGAAAUUACUGACUUACGAGCCAAGUAUUGCUCAGGAAAGAAAGGCAUCCCAAUAGGUAGUUUAGAUGAAAAAUUAAAGACAAAUAGUUGUGCAGAUGAAGAUUUCUAUAUUCUAUUUAGUCUAUUUGCGAUUGGAACUAUUUUGUGUCCAACUACAGCUACAUACAUCAACCCAUCAUACCUUUAUGCUUUAAAAGACGUGAGUAACAUUUGCGACAAAAAUUGGGCCAGCUGGUCUUUCAAUUUUUUAUGGGAAGAAGUUUCAAAGUUCAACGAAAAUAAAAUUUCCUCGAUGAGUGGAUGCGUUAUAUUUUUAAUGGUAUGAUUUAUUUAGUAAUUUGUAUUCUCGUUAGUUAAACGAUUAUGGUAUUAUCGAUUAUUAUUUCCGUAUUAACUAAUUUUUUGUUGUUUGCAGUUGUUCUACAUGUCAUCAACUAAGUUUCAGCUUUCUUCUGUUGCCGAGAAUGGAUGUCCUCUUAGUGCAUAGACUGAUAGUGAAAUAAAAAGAUUCCUCAAGUGGCGACAAAAGUAUGGUGACUUUGAGAGCAAUGCGGUUUAUUCCCUUCUAUAAUUGUAUAGUGUUUUGUAGUUAUGUUAUUAAAUUGAAUAGAUUAUUUAUGGAUAUUUGUAGUUAAUGCAGGUUCCGAUGCGAGAAAUCAGUUGCGGCUCAUCAGGUGCUCAAAGUGAAGGACAAAUUGACAAUGGUGACGCCGCAAGGCAACAUCCAUUUCAUGCUAUAUUAGCAGUAAUGGAUAAAAUGGAGGAACAUAUGAGAAGAAAUAAUGAUUUACUACAAAAAAUGGGCUUGAAAAUGGAUUCUCUUACUGAAAAGGUUGAAAAGUUGGAACGAGCAUAUUUUCGUCAAGAAGGAGCAAAUGUCGCUGAUGAUAGUCAAUCACCUCCUACAUAUACUGGUGCCGAGGCAACUGAUGGUCCAAUCUUUUCCUCUUCGAAUAUGGAGAUGCACCCACUUAUCCCUGCAAUUGUCACGCUUUCAGAUCUAGUACGGGAAAAGCGUAUGCCCAUUGAAGUUAAAGAACGAAAAGUUGUGUACCUCAGCACAUCCACUGAUGAAGAGGUUGUCCUAAAAGAAAAGUUGGCAGAAGUAUUGCAAGACGCGAUGAAGCCUAAAUUGGUGCCGGAACUUCAAGAUGAGGUAUACAUAGAGUAAUAAUUUGUUAACUUUUGUCUAAACUAUAUAUGAUUUAGUCUAAUCUUUCUUCUUUCUUUGUCUUGAAUAAAUAUGUAGUCUUCCGCGCAACAAGAGAAGAAAUGUCAACAGCCGCAAGAUUUUAAUCCGCUGUCUUUAGGCCCUCCUCGGCCAUACAGAAAUCGAAAGCUGGGGCGGUACCAGUUGUUCCCGUAUGAUCAAGUCUCACGCGGUCCAAAGCCAAAAUAUCGAGCGGGCCCUUUUUUCAUGAAUGAGCCGGUGACCCUCGAUCAAUUGAAUAUGCUCCAAUAUGGAUUUGACAAAAGCGCUAGCCUAGAGUAACAAUACCUUCAUGGCCACUCAUCAAGCUCUUUUCGUUUAAUAUGUUGUCAUAGUUAUUUGAUUUUGUUAAUGUAUCAUGUGAUUAACAUACAGUGAAAUAAUUGUGCGAUCAAGUCAUGAGGAUAUCACUCGGCAAGGCUUGUUAUCACUUUUGCCCGAUGCAUCACUUGACGAGGAGGUUUGUUCGUAAUUUGACUUUAAUGAUGAAAUUGUAAUUAAUAAAACCAAUUAUAAUUGUUCUUGUGUUUAGAUUAUUUUCAUGAUGAGUGAUUACCUUACACGACGUGAGUCGUGCAAAAGCCAUGGGCAACCAAUAAGCUAGUUCCUACCAACAAGAUAUGCAGUUACUGAUUCGUUCCUGUCUUUUUUUUCAUAUCCUUUUUCUCAUCAUUAACUACGGUAAUUUCAGUUGUGUUUUAUAUGAAUUUGAUGUGAUGAAUAUGUAGCAAUUUGCUACAAUACCAAAUGCACAUUUAGAUGGUUUCAAGGCUGCCUCCCAAUACCGCAAACGUUACAUGUAUGACCUGCACCGGUGCCAUCAGGUAGCGUGUGUGUUUGUUGAAAUGAUUUUUCGUUAUGAUCGAUAUUAUGUAUGGUAAAAGUGACCCAAAGUUGUUCUUGAAUAGAUCUUUGUUCCCAUGCAUGAUGGUGGCCACCAUUGGUUUAUGUUGUUGGUAGAAAUUUAAGACAAACAAGCGGAGAUCUAGGAUCCACUACCGGAUGCACGACAGACACGAGAUCGAGAAAUCCAAGUGAAUAGUAUUGUAAGUCCAACUAAUUUAUGAUAAAAACGAUGAGUUUAGUUUUCUGGGUAUUGUGUUAUUAAUACAUGUGAUGUAUUUUUGCACUUGAAAAUAGUUACACUCGUUGGAUGCUAUACUUUAUGCCGUCGUGGAUGCUACAUAUUCAGUAUCUUGGACUUUCUUGUCAUUUGCAGUGACCCAUGGGGAAGGAGUUCCACGGCAACCUAACGGUUUUGAUUGCGGAGUUUACGUCAUCAAAUUUGUGGUACGCUCCCUUAUUCGCCUUAUGUGGUUUCUUGGUUGAUUUUACUACUGUUGUUGGGCCACUGACAUGAUGAAAGUGCAUGAUUAUUUCUGCAGCAUAACUCACAGAAUGUUCGGGCGCAACUUGCGUUACAACUUAUAGACUCUCCGUUCAACGAACAACGCGAUCAAUUAUUGACGUUGGCUAAUGCACACUACAGUAACGCUGCAACGUACAUAAAUGAAUCGAAGCUUGCAUCAACAGUGAAGCCUCGUAAUGUGUCCACUAGAAAAGGUCAUAAGAACAGUUGCACAAAAUGUCGUUUCAAGCGGAAGGUUUGAGAUUGUUGUGAAUAUAGAUUAUGAUAAUUUUUUGCUGACUUCAUUCACAACUAUAAACUUUUGCUAAAUUUACCUUGUAACUGGAUUUGACGUACGAGUCAUGUAAAUUGUUUUGAUGAUCCAAAGGCGUAGAGGGAUUAAUAGGGCAAUUAUGAUUUUUUCCUUCGGCAACUGGUUGUCUUAAUUAAUACAUGUUGAAAGGAAGAUAAUUGUUGUAAAUGUUGCUAUUAUCACUAAGUACGCAAAAUAUAUUAUUACAUUGUCAUUGUUCACUUCUUACAUGAUAAUAUAACUCAAUGAUUUCCAAAAAGUUCGUUCUGCCCCCUCGGUUUAGAUCCAAAAAGUACAUCAUUAGCGAUCAUCCCCCAUCCUCCAAGUAUGUGUACCGUCCUCAACUGAGCAUAAUAUAAAUCCGAGUUAGUUAAACAACGUAAGAAAGUUUGCCAAGCAAAUUCAUAUAUCAUGGGAAAUCACUUACAAGUUAUUAUGAGGCCACCAAUUAUAGUAUGUGCUUGCAUCGGUUUCAUAGGUUAUACCAAAUGUGUUACUGCUGUCGUAAUGGUCGUCAAUUCCUUCUGAGAUGUUAAGCCUCCAAGGACAAGUUGUCUCGAACGUAAAUGUUGGGGAACUUGGCGAGCUUGAUUCCAUUGAAACAGGUGGUGUUAACACAUUAUAAGAACAAUGCCUUGGAUGAUCGUCAGUCGAAACACAACCAAUACCGCCAACGCUGCAAUGAAGGUCAUUGGGUUGCAUGUCCUUUGGCGGAUAUAGCGGGCAAGUCUGUUUAGUAUGGCCAGGCUGAAAACACUGACUGCAUUUGCGAUUUUUAGCCCCAUCGUGUUUAACGGUUUUAGAGCAACCUUUACUAUUAACUGUAAACGGGUCUUUCAACUUCAUACCUGCUUGAAGUACACAAUUCCUGGCUCGUUUAGCUGAUUCAUCAUCCGCAAUCAUCUGUUCAACGCGAAGCGUCAGCCGUUGAAUCUCGUCUAACGCUAUCAUAUAACUUUGUUCAUUCUUUACGGUGAAAAGACAAAGAUUAGUACAUGCCGCUGAAAGCGAGGCAAACUUUGCUGUUUCUAACACUUUCUUAUCGAGGUGUGACGCUGCAGCUGUCAUUUUCAUCACUUUACUCACCUUCACUGAUUUGGUCCAGUGACCAAGAAUCAAUGGUGGUGGUAUGCGAACUAGUUGCUCGAACUUCAUGACGUGAAAUAUAUGCCUACAUGGAAUACCUGCUAAUUCCAUCAUCUUACAUGAACAAGUAAUUGCAACUUCUUUACUAUAAAAUACCACUGUUCAUUUUUGUUCUGGAUGCUGAAAUUUCGUUAAAGUAUAGAUGUUGGAAUUAACUGUCUUGGCACACUCAAGCAUAAUCAGGGUGGCUUCUCCAAGGAUCUCCAUCCGAACCCAUUUCAAUACAUUCCUUGUAUAUAUUUCGGACGCAUGUUUUUCAAUGCUUUGCAGAUGUGUUGUAAGAACUGGGGCUGUGUGGUUUGUCUCAUACUCAUCUUGGACUUCUUUGUGCCAUAUGCAAUACAUGGCACGAUGAAUUUUUCUAAUGAAAUCAUACAGUUUUAACUUAUGCUUAACAAAGCGACGCAAGUAAGAAUUCAAGCUCUCACACCUUUGUGUGGUUCGCAUUCCGGCGAAAAAGGUUCCUUUCAAAUAAGCCUCUGCCCAUUUUCUACGCUUUGCAUACAUUUUUUCCACCCAAGAAUUUUGUUCCAGUCCCAGAUCAUAGACAACAGAGAACCAAUCUCGAUCAAACUCCUCCGUGGACAUUGGAUUCAACAUUAACUGCCGAAACUUCGACGUGAACUCAUUUCUCUUCACAUUUGCUUGUGCAUUCUGCUCAAGAUGCCAGCAACAGAGUCGAUGUACACAUCCAGACAUAACAGUUUUAAUCACUUCCGACAUAGCUUUAUCACCAUCUGUUAUGACACUUAUGGGUUUUUUUUUGUUUCAUUGCCGAUAAGAAAGUCUGUAGCAGCCACACAUAUGAUUCAACAGUUUCGUCAAUCAGUAUCGCAAAUCCAAAAACAGUAGUUCUUUUAUGAUGAUUUACACCAACAAAUGCGACCAAAGGUUUAUUGUAUGCAUUUUUCUUAUACGUUGCAUCAAAGCUAAAACAUCUUCAAAUUGUUCAUAGUCGUACCGAGCAACAGUGUCGGUCCAGAACAAGUUUCGCAGUCGAUUUUCCUCAUCAAGAGUAUACUCGAAGUACACUCUAGCAUCAUAAUCAACCCUUGCAGAUAAGUAUGCAAUGGCAGCCUCUGUGUCGGUGUCAAUAAUUUGUGCACGAUGAUAUGCGUCUAUUCUAUUCCGCAUGUCCUUACCCAUAUACCCAAUAUGAUGGAACCCUCCUGCAUGAUCAGACUUGUAGUUCAUGAACUGGCACACUUUCACCCCAACUUGUCGCAAUGCCUUUGCGUGAGCCAAAUCAGCUUCGUUGACAAGUCUAUGCGAACGAAGAAAUUGUGUCUCGUGCAGUUCAACCAAGAGAUAAGUGUGCUAAAAAACGAAUUUAGUUACCACGUACUUCCCUUUCAACUUAUCAUAGUUCACGCGAAGUUCCGCCUUCCACCCGUUACGAGUAAUGCCCCUCGGUUCCCUGAUUCUGUCUGUUUUCUCCAUCCAUUUUUUUAGCCUGUAUCCCUGCCCUAAGCAAACCCAUCGCCGACUUGCUACUUCACCACUUUUUCCAUCACGAUGAAGUUCACUUUUCUCACAGAGAAUCCAACCGACUUAGCAUACUUUUUAUACCAUAUGUGGGCAUCAUUGACAGUAUCAAAACACGAUCCGACACCCACUUCAAUGAGUUCACUUUUUUUAGGCAAACUGUAGGUCGUAUGACUAGAUGAUAUUGUAGCAGAUUUGUCCCCAAAAUAAUCUUUGCUUUCGCUAGUUUGUGGGGGUAAAGACGUACCUGCACUUGCACAAAUUUCCAUCCCAUUAUCAUAUGACGGGUUGUCUUGGGGUCCACUUGUUUUCUGUUCCGAUGGCUGGUUCUCAUUGAGGUCUAACACCCAUGCAGAAAUGCUUCCCACGUCUAAAGAUGUUGUCAUGCUCUCUGGUUAUCUUCUCUCAAGAUUCUAGCAUUUGAAGACCAUCAAAAGGACCUAGUUGAAGACUUAAAAGAGUACUGUGUGGGUUAUGUUUGUUGACAUUCAAUGUCUUCAUUAAAUGAUGGGGUUUGGUUGGUGCUUGGGUUGGUGGAUACACCAUUUAAACGGCUAGCCUAUUACCUAAAAAAGGCUUGCCGGUUUUGCAUUUGUGCUCUCUGGACAUUAAACGGCAAGCCUCUUAAACUCAUGCGGCUAGCUUUUUUUAAAUUGAUGCUAACUAGAGGGGAAAUGGCUAGCCUCUAAAAUUGUAGAGGCUAGUCGUUUGUGUAUGGGUGCUCAUUGGAAGGGAAACGGGUAGCCUCUAAAAUUAUGGAGGCUAGCUGUUACUCUAUGAGUGCUCACUGGAUGGGAAACGGCUAGCCUCUAAAAUUUAAGAGGCUAGCCUAUUUCGCGUUAGGGCUCACUGGAGGGGAAACGACUAGCUUCUAAAUUUGUGGAGGCUAGCCGUUUGUGUAUGGAUGCUCACCAUUAGCGAAAACGGCUAACCUUUAAACUUUAGAGGCUAGCCGUUUUCGCUUUUGGUGCUCUCUGGACAUUAAACGGCUAGCCUCUAAAAAUAAAAGGCUAGCCGUUUUCUCUUACUAGAGUUUCUGCAACAUGAACGGUCACCCUAUUAUUUUGUAAAGGUUAGCCGGGUUCAAAGCAAUAAAACUGCUCAUCUUCGUCUUCACAAAACUGGUCAGCCGCUUCUAUCUCUAAAAUCCGAAUCCUCUCUCCCACGUUCUCAGCCGAAAGAUCCACCAUUUAUAAUCAGUUCAUAGCCCAAAUUCAACCUUAGAAAUCAUUUCCCACCAUUUACUCUUGCUAAAUUUAACCCUCGAAACCGAAAAACCCUAGGUUGUAAACCCCUUUGACUUCGGCAAAUGUUUGCCAAAAUUGAACCCACACAUCCCUUUUAAACAUCAUUAUCUUCCAUCUAAUCGGUUUAUUCCUCUUCAAAUCGCUGAAAAAUCAUAAUGUCAACUUCAAGGCCACGUUGAGCGAAAGACAAAGGGAAAGAGGCGAUUCCACCACCCAAACGGACACGGAAGGACGACGACCUUGUAGAACAAUCUAAUUUUGAAUCAAGACACUUCCCGGACAAGCGUUUGGCCACCCGUUUUCGCCAAAGAUUCAUGACACGUAAGGUACUUGAUACGUUCUAUAUUGUGCCUGAUUGGCUUCGUAGCCUUAGUAUUAACAAUGGUAAUUUGUUGCAAUUGUUGGAGGAAGUUGGUUGGAUUAAUGCCCUUACGAUUAAUGAGAAUGUGUAUCCUGACUUGGUGAAAGUAUUUUACUCUAAUAUGGAUACUUCCGCGGAGAAAGAGAAUCGAGUAAUCACCAACGUUAGAGGAGUUUUGAUUGAGCUUGAUGAUACUGAAUUGAAUUCUAUCCUAGGAACCUCCGAAGAUUGGUUAGAAAUAUAUUCUGCUAGGAAAGUUCCUACGAUUGAUAACUUUGUUAUGUUGAUGCCGUUAGAAACAUUUGUAGGCGUAUUGAUCUUUCUGAUGAGGUCUGUACAAUCCAUUUCCGUGCUCAAUGUCUAUGCCUUCAAUCGCGUAUUUUACAUUGUAUAAUUUAGAAUAUUGUCCUUCCUAGGUCGGGCCACUUAGAUGAUGUUACCCACAUGGAUGUUGCUUUGAUUGAUUCUAUCCUCAGGCAUCGGCCGGUUAGCCUUGGAUACACUAUUAUACGCACCAUGCUUUCCAUACCUAACUUAAUCAAUCGUGCUCUUCCAUAUGGAAAUUUCAUCACGCAAAUCCUUAAAUACUUUAGGGUGCCCAUAAACGAACCAUCUUGUAAACCCUGUAGGAGUAUAGGAGAUGAGGCCGUGUAUGCCUUAGGAUUUGAGUGGCAUAAUGGAGCAUGGGUGAAGUAUACUGAAGCUAAGUACACAAUGCUUGCUCCGAGUGAUGAUCGUCCUUUGAAUUCCGUGGUUCCUGCUGAUCAGCUGACUGAUUUUUCACUUCCUUUCCGGGGUUAGUGUAGACGUGAUGACCCUCCUACCUGUGAACCUGAUCAUGAUGCUUCUGCAUCUGCCGUACCACCUGCAGAUCCACAUGACUCCGGCGAAAUUACUCUUCAAUAACUUAUGGACGAGGUGAGGCCACUUUCUGUACAGCAGACUAGCUUUCAGCAUCACGUUCUGGAGGAGCACCGAUGUUUGUCAGAGCAGUAUCAGCAGCUCCUUCACGGACAACGCCUCUUGUUCGAGCACUUUGCCAUUCCUUAUCCGUUUCCACCUCCAGCACCACCAUCCCCGCCGCCUCAGUAGUUUUCAUUUCUUUAUGCCAUUAUAUAUGUUUGGAUGUUAGUUUUAUGUUCGGAUGAUUGUUUUAUAUGUUCGGAUGGUUGUUUUAUAUGUUCAAAAAUUUUAUUUGACAAGUUCGGAAGUUUCUUUUAUAUGUUCGGAAAUUUGUUUUAUAUGUUUGGAUGGUUGUUUUACGUGUUCGGAAGUAUGUUUUACAUGUUCGGAAAUUUGUUUUAUAUGCCAUCAUGGCUGCUGCUUAUUAUAGCAAUAGCUACCAACUGCAGCUGUUACUGGUUAUGCAGCUGCCUGUUGCUGCAUAAGCAGCAGCUGCUGCUGGUGUUGUUACUGCAGCUGCUGGCAUUCCAGCAGCAGCUGGUGCCUGCAAAAGCAGCAGUUGGUAGCUGCUGCUGUUGCUGGUUAUGCAGGCACCUGUUGCUGCAUAAGCAGCAGCUGCUGGCAACUACAAGCAGUAGCAUCUGUUGCUGGUGUUGUUGUUGUUGUUGCUGCAUAAGCAGCAACAGCUGCUGGCUACUUUUGUAGCAGCUGGUGCCUGCAUAAGCACCAGCUGGUGGCUACUGCUGUUGCUGGUUCUACAGCUAGUGGCUGCUGCUGUUGCAGGUCCAGCUGCAGCUGCAGUUGCUGGCUGCUUAUGCCAACAGCAGCAGCAUCUGAAAUCCCCAAAAUAAGCAUUACCAGCAGGGCCAUUAGUAGCUGCAACUGCUGGCAUAAUUAAUCACGCACAUUGAUUUCAAACCAUUUUGCAUGCUAUUUAAUCAGUUCAUCUUGACCUAAAACACAAUAUUUGUUAUUUAGCGGAAGCAAAGGAAACUAAAUGAACAUUAAAUCAUUAACUUCGAACAUGCGAUCAUUAACUUGCACUAUGGAAAUCAUACAGUUAUUGGACCAAUAAACAUGAGAUCAGCACCAUUAACUUGAUAUCGGGACCAUUAAACUUGAAACAGAAGGAACCUGAAACUUAGGGCAAUGAGCAUGAAACAUGUGAUCAUUAACUUGCAACCUAAAAAAUUAUAUAAUUAAUGGACCAAUAAACAUGAAAUCAUGACCAUUAACGUGAUACAUAAACAAAUAAACUUGAAACCAGUGAACUUGAAACUUAAGGCAAUAAACCUGAAAUAUGAGAUCAUUAACUUGCAACCAUAAAAAUGAUUAAAUUAAUAAACUUGAAACUUAGGGCAAUGAACAUGAAACAUGUGAUCAUUAACUUGCAACUUAAAAAAUUAUAUAAUUAAUGGACCAAUAAACAUGAAAUCAUGAUCAUUAACGUGAUAUCUAAACCAAUAAACUUGAAACCAGUGAACUUGAAACUUAAGGCAAUAAACCUGAAAUAUGAGAUCAUUAACUUGCAACCAUAAAAAUGAUUAAAUUAAUGAACUUAAAACUUAGGGCAGUGAACAUGAAAUAUCGAAUCAUUAACUUGCAACCUAAAAAAUUAUAUAAUUAAUAGACCAAUAAACAUGAAAUCAUGACCAUUAACGUGAUAUCUAAACCAAUAAACUUGAAACCAGUGAACUUGAAACUUAAGGCAAUAAACCUGAAAUAUGAGAUCAUUAACUUGCAACCAUAAAAAUGAUUAAAUUAAUGAACUUAAAACUUAGGGCAAUGAACAUGAAAUAUUGAAUCAUUAACUUGCAACCUAAAAAAUUAUAUAAUUAAUGGGCCAAUAAACAUGAAAUCAUGACCAUUAACGUGAUAUCUAAACCAAUAAACUUGAAACCAGUGAACUUAAAACUUAAGGCAAUAAACCUGAAAUAUGAGAUCAUUAACUUGCAACCAUAAAAAUGAUUAAAUUAAUGAACUUGAAACUUAGGGCAAUAAACAUGAAACAUGUGAUCAUUAACUUGCAACUUAAAAAAUUAUAUAAUUAAUGGACCAAUAAGCAUGAAAUCAUGACCAUUAACGUGAUAUUUAAACUAAUAAACUUGAAACCAGUGAACUUGAAACGUAAGGCAAUAAACCUGAAAUAUAAGAUCAUUAACUUGCAACCAUAAAAAUGAUUAAAUUAAUGAACUUUAAACUUAGGGCAAUGAACAUGAAAUAUCGAAUCAUUAACUUGCAACCUAAAAAAUUAUAUAAUUAAUGGACCAAUAAACAUGAAAUCAUGACCAUUAACGUGAUACCAAAACCAAUAAACUUGAAACCAGUGAACUUGAAACUUAGGGCAAUAAAUCUGAAAAAUGAGAUCAUUAACUUGCAACCAUUAAAAUUAUUUAAUUAAUGGAUCAAUAAACAUGAAAGCAUAACCAUUAACUUGAUACCCAAACCAUUAAACAUGUAACCAAAGGAACAUGAAACGGAGGGCAAUAAACAUGCAAUAUGUUAUCAUUAACUUGCAACCAUGAAAAUCAUUAAAUUAAUGGACCAAUGAACAUGAAACCGUGACCAUUAAGUUGAUACUUGGACCAUUAAACGUGAAACUGAAGGAAAUUGAAACUUAGGGCAAUAAACAUGAAACGUGAGAUCAUUAACUCGCAACCAUGAAAAUAAUGAAAUUAAUGGAACAAUAAACAUGAAAUCAGCACCAUUAACUUGAUAUUUAUACCAUUAAACUUGAAACUUCUUUUUUAUUAUUAUAAAAAUUAUUUUUUUGUCUUGUCCUUAAAUAUUAAAAUAAUGAAUAUUUUAUUAUUAUUUUAUUUCUUAUAAUUAAAUAUUAUUAUUUUUAUUAUUAUUUAAUUUAUUCAAGGGGCAACCGGUUGCAAAAACUGAUUGCUCCCAGUUUUUUUUUUUUUUUUGGUGUUUGGCCGCCACUUGGCAGCCAAACCAUUGCUCUGCUUUUUGCCUUUUUGUAUUGCUUGCAUGUAUCACAUACAUGCAUGUACUGUAGCCGCACCCUUAAAAAAAACAACAAAGCAAAUCAGAGUAAAAGAAGAAAUCACUUGUCAAGGCCGUAUCUCGAGGUUGGGAAUGCGAGAUAUCUUACGCCAGUCUCCUCCCCUGUUGCGAUAACAUUCUUCCAGAAGCCCACAAUUCGACCUAAUGAUCAAUUCCUUCAACGUUGUCGUCUGAUGAAAGUGGUCGGGUAGUGCCUUUAAUUUGGGGCAACUAUCAAUUGUCAAGGAAGAAAGACGUGGCAUGAUGUUGAUGAAGGCGUAUCCCGUUCUUGUAAUCCCAUAAUUCCACUCUUUCAAUUCCAACAUCCAAGAAAUUGUGAGUGAUUUCAAUUUGGGGAAGGCAAUAAUAACUGAUGAAGAUGAACAUGAAGAUGGCUCAUGAUGAUCACUUUCUAUCCCCAAAAAUUCAUUACCCACUCGUUUCACACUAAUCAUGUAUGUUAUGAUGACCUUUUCAAGGGAUGGCAAUAUUCCCAAAGGAGGCAGCUGGUUACAGUUUUCGCACAGAAUGAGUUCCAAACUCCUUGGAUUAGUUAAUGACAUCAUCCAGUUAGGGAAAACAUUGUUGCCUCUUUAUGAAUCUAUCACUAAUUCCUUCAAAUCUAGAGGUGGUUUCAGGGCUUCAAGAAGAAGUUGAUCGUCCUCGUUCUUCCUCAUUUCUCCUCCUUCAUCCUUCAUAUCAAACCAGAACUUCAAAUUGAAGAGGUAUUCCUUUCUAUCAAGCUCUAAUCUCUUAGCCUCAUCCACAUCUGACACAUUUCCCAGUCUACGUAGACCACAUACUUGGAGGAGUUCCAAGUUUUUAAGAGAUUAAAGCCUACAUCCUUUGUGACCAUCAACAGCUUUUCCUCUGCUCACAUGGAAUUCAUCAAAUGUCCGAAGACUCGUUAAUCUCGCAAUCCCAGCCGGCAUGCGCCCUAAGGAAUCAGUUCUCUCAUUUAGUAAAUGCUUCAUGUUUAUUAACUUCCCAAUCCCUUCAGGUAAUUCUUUAAGAUACCAACAAUGACUAAUAUCUAACUUUUCUAGAUUAUAUAACUCACAUAAUGGCUCAGGAAGUUUCCUUAUGGACGUCAGACAGGACAAAUUAAGGUACUUUAAAUGUAUCAACUUUUCUAUAUUUCUUGGAAUCUCUAGAAUGAAAUACCAUCGUGAGAUAGACCAUUUUCCUAUAUUUAACACCCUUAAACUUGUCAAUUUCUCAAAUAAUUCCUUUAGCAUCUUACCAUUUAACGAUGAAUUGUCAAGCAUGUUACCACCAAUAAAGAGGCUACGCAUUCUUUUAACUCUACAAGUGGAGACAGGAAAUGAAGCUCCUUCACCAAUAAUUAACAUUAAAUGACAAACCUUCUUAUCCAAAGAGUUUAUGGCGUUGUGUUCUUUGCUACCAUUAAUCUCCAUCGAAGAACAUUCAUUUUGACUUACAAAUUGGGCAAAAUCGUGUACUAUAUCAUGCAUCUUGCACGCUACAAUAAGAUUAUCA
Molecule: long non-coding RNA, 71934 nt
Filed under: Citrus x clementina
Lineage: Eukaryota; Viridiplantae; Streptophyta; Magnoliopsida; Sapindales; Rutaceae
Description: Citrus clementina (C. clementina) long non-coding RNA (CCLE_LNC002360)
Source: RNAcentral